Molecule: long non-coding RNA, 77103 nt
Filed under: Eucalyptus grandis
Lineage: Eukaryota; Viridiplantae; Streptophyta; Magnoliopsida; Myrtales; Myrtaceae
Description: long non-coding RNA (EGRA_LNC000044)
Source: RNAcentral
UCUCUCUCUAGUUCGUCAUCUUCCAUGACGAAUCAGGAGAGGCCAAUCAAAGUUAGAUCUCGCAAGGAAAAAGCCAAGGACUGUCUCGUGGGGGACAAGCUUGUGAUGAUGGUUACUAGAGAGAUGGGAUGCCCAUUGACCGAGAGCACGGCAUAAUUGCCCUCUCUUCAUGAAGAGAUAUAUUGACCAUUUUCGGCUAUCCUUUUUUACUAACUAUUACAUUGGAUUUUCUAAGACUAUCUUUGUUUAUUUUGAUUAGUUAAAUCCUUACAAAAGUCUACUGUUAUCUAAACAUGAAUUGUUAAAUCUCUACCAACAUUCAUAUAAUUAAAUAGAAAAAAAUGCGAAUAGAAACUUUUAUGGCCGUAUCAAAUACAUUUAUAUUAUUUUUCUAUUUUGAGAAUAAAAAUCUUGUACAGUUACUUAACAUAUUUUUCUGCUCAAAAACUAGUCCAAAGAAUAUAUCUUAAUAGAAAUUGUUCCUAAAAACAAAAAUAUUACCAUAUGCACUCUAACUAUUGGUCACAUUUUCGGUUUACAAAUGUAACGCACAUAGAUUGUGAGGGGUAGUGUGUAUUUUCACGUCUUUCCUUUUUAUUUUUCAAAAUAAAUGUCGCCUCUGCCUUCGACUUCAAGGGAAAAAAAAAUUAAGAAAAUGGAGUGCAUUAAAUUAACUAAUAUAUCGCAAAAAUUGAUUCCCAAUGUACGCGAGGGGUCGUAGUCGUAGGGUCCCUGUCAAAGUCCCACUUGCGAGGGGCCUUAGAAUCCCUGUCAAAAUUCCGCACGUGGCGCGUUGAGAGGGGCUGGGUGACGUCCCCGUGAAAGUCGGGAUUAUGAGGAAAUUGCUACUUUGUGGAAAUGGAGGUGGAAAUGGAGGGAUCACAGUGUUGUGCGGUGAGGAUGCAUCUGACGUUUUGUGAUCGGCGAAUCGGACGGAUCAAGAUUAGGGGAACAGGAGCGGCUUCCUUGAACGGCAGGCCAAAGGCUCGUUUGGACAUCCGGGCACAACUUUUUACGCGCAAAAGAGAGAGAGAGAGAGAUUUUCAAUCUAAAUAUGUUGGUUAUUACACUUGCUCAUUCGACUGCCUCGCGUUAUUUCAUUGAAGCUUCCAUUUUAUCGUAGCGGUUCACAAAUGCAAUGCCCUUGACUUGUGAGGGGUGGUGUGUAUUUUCAUGUCUUUCCCUCUCUCUCUUUUUUUUCGAAAUAAAUCUUGCCUUUGCCUUUGACUUCAAGGGAGGAAAACAAAAUAAAGAAAAGGGGUACAAUAUAUUAACUAAUGUAUUGCAAGAAGUGAUUCUCAUUGGUAGCAUAAUAAGUAAAGUUUGUUAGGAAUUCGCCGAAGUAGUUAUAGAACUAAUCAAAUAAUUUAGAGAAAAGAAACGUAAUCAAGUAGAGAAGGAAAAAAAAAAAGGCUUCGCUAGCUAAUAAAAAGUAAAAGGUCAGGUAACAAACGAAAAAAAACAUUUUUAUUAAUUGUGGGAAAAAGAACAAGAAAAAGGAAAGUAAGAGGGAAGGCUCCGUAUAAGAACAGGGGAGGUGACAUCUCCCGCAUAACCAUUACCAAAAGCCCAUGACACGAGAACAGAGUAAUCCGCUCUCCAACCUUAGAGACACGAUCAAUUUGCCAUUUACCAAAAAAAUAGUUUGAUGAAUUGCAGGCCAAUUGAUGCGUUACACAGCUACUAAAUAAUUAGGUGAUGACAUGAAUAUGUAUAUAAUUGAUGGCAAGCUUCGCUCUUCGGAUCUUGUCCGACCUGACGAAUAUGUGAAGAGGAACAUCCUGCGUUUUGAUGUAAAAACUCGUUACCGCCAACAAAACGCAGUAACUCUGUCACCAGUUUCGUUUUCGUUUUGAUGGCGACAGAUUCUGAGAUCAAGACCUGCUCUAGAGAGAGAGAGAGAGAGAGGAUCCGAAGAAAAGGAGUAGGUGGCAAGCAUUCCACCACCCCUGCCUGGGGCCGAUAUUAAAAAGAAGAAGAAGAAUUUACUAUAUAUAAUUAAAACUGAAUUAAGAAUAUUGGAUUUUCUUGAUAGGGAGUUACUUUUUUUUGUUUUGUUCGAAUAUAGGGAGUUACUUAGCUGGGGCGUUUUCCAAAGAACGGGAAUAAUAUUCAACAAAUGGAAAUUAGUUUUUUCUCGAGUAGCGAACCUAAUGGUUCUUUUCUAUUUAGGAAAAAAGGGGAAUAUUCAGUCAUUUCCCCCAUCUCGUUUUUUUUUUUUUUUUUUUUUUUCUAUUUUUCUACAUUGCGUAUUCCUAAUAAUAGCAAAAAAAGAAAAACCUUUUAAAGGAAGCAGCGUCGAGAAAAUGUAAUGGGAAAUUACUGUUGCAGCUUACUAAAUAAAAUGAUAAAUUGAUUUUUUUUUUUUUUUUUGUCCCAAGCAUGACAGGUGGCUAGCUUUGUCCAGGUCAAGGAAACUGCAGCUUUACCUUUGCCUUUGUGUUCUAACCACGAGGGCGAGAACGAAAAAGGGCAAUUAAUAGGAAGAAAGAAACGGCCUCGUCAGAGUCACCUGCCUGUGACGCGAGAUUCGCUGACAAGCGAAAUUACUCCUAUGAAAUUAUAAGAAGAAUUACUUAAAAGGCUGACCAAAGUUUUCCAUUAAUCAUUUUAUGAGCCUCAAGAUGCGAGUAUCCAUAAGACUCCCGUCAACUAUUCUGAAAGGUCUGGUUGCUAGGAUGAAGCCGCGAGUCCAUUAUUACCAAUCGACGGCACGUCGAUACCACUCUUUUUAUUACUCGAGAGCUAUUUUUUUCACAAAAAAUAAAUGAUCAUCGCUUGUAUUAUUCAUAAAAAUCAAUUAACAGAAAAUAUUAAUUUUUUGUUGAGAGUGAAAACAUUUUUGUCAAACAGAUCAUUUUUAAGAAAAUGUAUUUUUUUUUUCGAAAAGGUAAAAGAGGAGAGAGAGAGUAAGAGAGGAUGAUAACGCAUGAUUAACAUCAAGAGUGAAUGUGGGUGGUUUGACCAAGAAAGCAGUGAACCUGGGUUGAAGCAUCCAGAAUUUUUCUAGAGAGAGAGAGAGAGAGGGGGGGGGGGGGGGGGGGGGGGGGGGGGGAAAAAAAAACCCCCCCUUAAAAAUUGAACCCCGGGGGGGGGGGGGGGGCUUAAAUUUUGGAAAGGGGGGGGGGCCUUUGUAAACAAAUGUUAUAAAAUUUUUGUUUUCCAAGGGGGGCNNNNNNNNNNNNNNNNNNNNNNNNNNNNNNNNNNNNNNNNNNNNNNNNNNNNNNNNNNNNNNNNNNNNNNNNNNNNNNNNNNNNNNNNNNNNNNNNNNNNAUAAGCAAGAAGCAAAGAGAGCUCUUGAUUGCAGUCUAUUUGAUGAUCCAUGAAUAAAAAAAGGAAGAGGAAAAAAAAAAUUAAAAAAAAAUGGGGAGGUGGGAAGGAGACAGAAAAACUUUGAACUUUUUUUUCAAGAGCUCCCCAUUUUUGCUUUCAAUGGGGAGCUCUUGAAAGCAAAAGUUCAAAGUUUUUCUGUCUCCUUCCCACCUCCCCAUUUUUUUUUAAUUUUUUUUUUCCUCUUCCUUUUUUUAUUUCAUGGAUCAUCAAAUAGACUGCAAUCAAGAGCUCUCUUUGCUUCUUGCUUAUUGCUUCUUCCUCCCAAGCUCCCUGUUUUCCUCAUCCCUUCUCGUUUUCGGUCGUAAAGAAAUUGAAAAAAAGAGGGAGUGAUGUCUCUGUUGGAUUGGUUCUAUGAAGCUCUGGCGUCUCUGGGUCUGCGCCAGAAGGAAGCCAAGAUAUUGUUCUUGGGGCUGGACAAUGCAGGGAAGACCACCCUGCUUUGCAUGCUGAAGCACGAGGUACUUUCGUUUGAAUUCGUAAAGACUCCCUUCGAUGGAAAUACGCAGUUCUGAAGUUGCUUUUUUCUCUUUUCGUGAUCGAGAGUCUCUUUUCCCAAUGUGUUCUUGUUUUCGUCAUUGAUUCCUUGCAUUUCUCGGGGCCUCCUCUCUUCAUUUCGCCUGGUGAGUGAGUUGAUUGCACGAUUCUUGCGCUUGCUGUGUAUGGGCUUCUCUUAUAAUUCUUAGUCUGCAAUGCAUAGAUAUAUGUAGUGCGUUCGUAGUACUAUACGUGCUUGUCGAAUGUAAGCUGAACGAUUCUGAUAUGGUUCUGUGAUGGGCAGAGAUUGGCUCUGCACCAACCCACCCUGUUCCCGACUUCAGAGGAAUUGAGUAUAGGGAAGAUAAAGUUCAGAGCCUUCGACUUGGGUGGUCGGCUGAUCGCUCGCACAGCCUGGCCGGACUACUACGCUAAGGUAAAGCUCUGCUCUUUUUCUUUUUUUUCUUCCCUCUCCUCUCAAAGCUCCCGUUUUUGGAUAACCCUGUAAUUGCGUGGCCUUGGGUUGAUUCAUUCACGGAUUCUGUGAUAGUUUCUAAAUGCUAUGCAAAAAUGAUGCAUGCGGGUGGAUCAUCCUCCUGAGAGUAGUCGGAUGCUUUUUGUCUCUGAGUUUGGAAACGGGAAAACUUUUUCUUCAACCGGAAAACUAAUACCAGCGAAGAGAGUUCUUUGCUGGGUUGAAAGGUGGUCAUCUGCGCCCACCACGAAUGAUGAUGGAUGCAGCAGAUAGAAUGCUUGAACUUUCAAGGAUCUCAACAAGCGUUGAUGGGGUCAAGUAUGUUGCCAUCAUGAAUCUAUACUUAAAAUGUAACUGUGCGCGGGAAAAAGCUGAAAAAGGAGUGAUCUGUCGACUACAUUACUGUGAAGAUGACAGUUUUACAUUAUCUGCUGAGGAGGAGAGGGGAAGGCUCUCUGUUUAGUAAGGAUGGAUAGUCGAUAGCAGUUCUAACUCGAGAAGGUACCUAUAAAGGCAAAGGGCUUUCCUUCAUAUCGAUGGCAUUCGCCCCUACAUCCAUGUUGCUGAGCUCCCUCCUGUCCCAUCAUUUCGUUUAGGUUGGAGGCGAUGCGCGAGUUGAUGACUUUCUAGUCCUUUUGUCAUCUAGUUUACGAAUUUAACUCGGACAGCUCUUCGGCACACAUUUUCAAACGAGAUUUAUAUUGAACGAUUGAUCUUCCGCACUUUCUUCUCUAGGUGGAUGCAGUGGUAUAUCUGGUGGACGCCUGCGACAAGGAGAGGUUUGCGGAAUCAAAGAGGGAGCUCAAUGCCCUGCUUUCAGAUGAAGCUCUUGCUAAGGUGCCUUUCCUCGUGCUCGGGAACAAGAUCGAUAUCCCGCAUGCGGCUUCGGAGGACGAGCUGCGAUAUCAUCUCGGGCUCACCGACUUCACGACUGGCAAAGGAAAAGUGAAUCUUGCGAAUCAGGCUGUUAGGCCCCUGGAGGUGUUCAUGUGCAGCGUCGUGCGCAAGAUGGGCUACGGUGAAGGGUUCGAGUGGAUGUCGCAUUACAUCAAGUAUUGAUGCGGUACCUCUUUCUUCUCUCGGAAAGGUUUGCUUUCAAUUUAUAAAGGAAGAAUAAGCUCAUAAGAGUUCAUGAUUUCUGGAUUGACGUGUUUUUUUUAAAUGAGGACGAUACACCAUCGUUCGCUUUUGUUCCGCAUGUAUUGAAACUCAGUCAUUGCUCCCCAGAUGAAGUACUCUGCCUGGACUCUAAGUUUGUAAUAAUACAGCUGGCAUUUCUGAGGGUCGAAAGCUCUCGACCUAACUAUUGCUCAUUAAGCAUGAACUAUGCAAAUCUUUCUCUGUUGAUUUCCGUUUUUAGGGUGGAUAUGUCUCGACCGAGCAUUCUGGUACUUCUUAUGAACUUCUUGUGUCGUCCCAUCGAUUUUCUGAAAGUAAAUUUAGCAGCUUGCAAAUAUAGUUCAGAUGUUGGAGGCAAAAAGAGAUACUGGCCUUUUGUACGUUACUCAACACGGAUUGAUCACCGCAUGAUUGGUAAUUGUACAUCAGCAUAUCCAUUUUGCCCAUCCAAUUUAUCAGCAACGACCAAAGAGAAUCUGCAAGGAAAGUCUUGUGACAUAGAGGCCGCCUUUGGAAGGAAAGCACUAGUCUUUCCAUGAGAAAUAGCCAGCAUGAUGAGAUUUCAUGAUGCGCGGGAGUAUAUUGUUCUUGGAAGAUUUUUUGAGCUCAAUACUCGAUCAGGGCUAGACCAUGUGGCUCUUUAGUCGCAACGUCUGGUGGUAGCUUCUAGGUAAGGGUGAGCAUGCCGGAAUGCCCAAGCGAGGAACCGCCCGGACCAGACCGGACCGGCUAGUUUGGUCCGGUUCCUAGAGGGAUGGGUCCAGUUUAUGGAACCGGUGAUUGUCGGUCCGGUCCUCAGUUUCGGGAGAGAACCAAACCGGGCUGGACAAACCAUUUUCUUAUUAAAUAUAUAUUUUUAAUUUCAUUAAUAUAGCAAUAAAACUUAAAAAUAGUAACAAUUCUUGUAUUUUUCUUUAUUUUUUAUAUUUUUUUGCUAAGCAAUUGGUUCCUAGUCAUAGGUCGGUCUGGUCUGGUUCCCGGUCCCCAAAAUUGGGAACUGAUCCUCCUGGUAUGGCUCCCGGUUCUUAGGUAGAAUUAGACCGGAUCGGGAACCAAUCACCCCUACUUCUAGGGAUCGAAGAGAAUCGCAGGGCAAGAGUUCCCCCAAGAAGCGAUUAGACCUUAAGGUUGCUGUGCUUGUUCGCCAUGAUCGGUAAUGGUCGUGAUGGAGGUGAAAUCGAGAGAGGUACCCGAGUUCUUGAAAAUGAGUAGCGAUGGAGCUGAAAUCGGUACUAUCUUCGUUGGCAUAUUCGGCCUGCCAAAACCCAGUACAGUAUCGAGACCUCCGGAAUUCCUAAACAAAAUACUCAGCCUUCUGCGGAGGCGACACCCGGUUGGCUUGUCCCUCCAACGGCAAUUUCAACUGGGAUAGUCUUACAGGGAAGUGUACAAGUGAGGUCGUCAUGCAUUAAGUUUAGAUUUAGCGAUUGGAUGAAAAUUUUGUGCUCGGUCCAGAAUGAACGACAGAGUUUCGCUCCGCCUUGCCAUCACCAUCCUUUUGACGUCCGCGAAGGUUGCGAGGCCGAAGGAGGUGCAGGGAGUGAAGCUAUAUCUGCGCAUGGAAGUUUCUCAUUCAUGAUACUCACAUUCCCGUCGUCGCCUAAUGAUUAUGUAAUUAUGAUGCAUCAAUUGCUUACAAUUCAUCAACUAUUUUCUCGUAAAUGGCAAGUUGAUCAUGUCUCCAAGGUUGGAAAAUGAAUUAGUGUGUUCUUCUAUCGUGGGCUUUUCAUCGAGGAAAGUGACAUAAAUAGUUCUUAAAUUUUAGUUUAAUGCAUAAUGCGAUCCUUGAAUUUUAACACAAUAUGCAAUGUCAUCCCUGAACUUUCAAUUUAUCUAAUGUGAUCCCCAAACUUUUGAUACAUAUUCAAUCAGAUCCCUAAAUUAUAUGAAGAUGUCCAAUAUUAUUCCAAAACUUGAAUUAAUGGAAGGAUAACAACUUGAACAUGUUCAAACAAUCUAAGGACCAUAGUGAAUAAAUUAAAAGUUCAAUGACCACUUUGCACAUCAAAUCAAGGUUCGGGAAUUUUAUUGAACAAAUUAGAAGUUUAUGGACAUUAGACAAUGAGUCGAAGUUCAUAAUUAUUUGUGUCAUUAUCCAUUUUCUUAAUGAUUAUGCAAGAUGAGUCAGCUCCCCUAUCCUAACAUGCAAUAUGGAGACUUUCAUUUCCUUUUCUUUUGGCCAUCUAAACCACUUCAUUUGUCAAAGGAACUUGUUAGCUAAAACGUAAUUAAGAUCGAAAAAGAAAUUCAGGAGAAAUUAGCCUUAGCUAUUGCAAACCUUUGCCUUCAAACUUUUAACCAAUAGAUAAUGCCCUUCUCCACUUUCAGUUUGUUAUAAAUCGUUAAUUUGUGACACGACGUGACACAAUACGACAUGACACAUCGACACUUUAUUUCUCAAAAGAUAGAAAAUUUCAAUACGUUGGAACGCAUUGUGUAUUAAAUGUAUCUUUAUAUAUAUAAGACAAAUUAUCUUUUUUAUGAUUAUUUCAAUUAAAUUAAUUUGAUUCAAAUUUACAAAUAAAUAAAUAAAGAGUCUACAAUAAAUUAAUAUACUAAAAAUAUUAAUUUACCAUUUGUUAAUAUCAUUCAUUAUUUUAAUUUGAUAAAUUCAUUUCUAUUCCAAUAAUCCAUAAAAUUUGAAGGAAAAAAAACAUGCAAUUCACAUUCUAGAUUAGUGUAUUAAAGCGUGUUGUGAGAUAAGAGAAAAAAAACUUGAGAAGUGAAUUGUGUAUUACAAGAAGUAAGAGUCGGAAGAGAAAAUUGGGUUUUUCCCCCCUUUAUUUUUAUUUUUAUAUUUUUAACAUAUUUUUACUUUUUGCCCUUCAUUUAUUGAAAUUUUUUAAAAUUGACCCUAUAUGUGUGGGAAUCACGUGUUGAAAUUUUGAACUCGAGUGUCAGAAUUUCGGACAUGAAUGCCGGAGAGUGUUGGGAGAGUUAACCAAGUGUUGGAUUUUAUUCAAAUUUAUUAAUUGUUUAAUUUGUGAUUUAGGAAAGUAAUUGUAGUCAGUAUAAUAUACUAUUAUGUUUUAAUUGUAGUCAGUGUACCAAUUGCAUUCUAAAAUCUUGCAUCAACUUUGCUUCAAGAAUUGCUUGCAAAAAUAUAUGAAAUAUAUAGAAAACAUCUAGCUUUAAUUGAUAAACUUUUAUAGAAUAUUAAAAUAUUGUAUUUUCAAAUAUUAAAGAAAUAGUCUUAUUUUUAUAGUCUUUCCGCGCAAAGCGGAAGUUGCAAUUUAGGCUUAUUACACUAAUUUAAAAACGUCGUAUUAUGAGAAAUUUUUAAAAAGCUAUUAUGCAAUUGUUUCACCAAAUAUGAUGAAAUAUCCUUCAAGUAUAAAUGGAUGAAUCAACACAGGUUGCGAAAGGUUUUUUUUUUUUUUUGGUUUUGGAUAGAAAAAUAAUGAUAAGAAAACUAAAAGUACGUAGGCUAGAGACAAUCAUAUUUAGUCAUGUAAAUUACACAAAAAUGAAAAUAAAGAUAAAGAUAAAUUUACAAAAAAAUGUUAAAUUCUAUGAUUGAUUGGUAGCUGCUUACCAUGAAUACACUUGGGGUAACCGACGAUUACAUCGAACGAUUAGUAAAUUUGAAUAAAAAAAUUAUUUCCUGAUCUACAUACACAAGAAGUUACACGAUCUCCUAUAAUUUAACAAUACUUAUUCACGGAAGUUUAAAAAAAAAAAUCCUAAAUUAGUGGCAAUAGAUUUAACUACAACAAUUAUAUUUUCAUGUCGAUUACUUAUUGUCAAUGACUGUCAAUUAACGUCCCAACUCUUCAUGAAGGCUCUCAACCAUAACUUUCACAGUGUUGUCAAUUACUUUAGCAAGUUGUCAAUUCCCUUUGAGUUGUUGAUUGUUUUAUUCAUUGUUGACUAAACUCUACUCUCAUUGACUAAGUUUGAUACUUGUCAAUAGUAACCCAAAACUGGUCAUUUUUUGGUGUCAACAUAUGUCCCUUUAAAAAAGAAGAUCCAAUUCAAUUAAACUGGAUAAUCAAAAGCCAUCAUAUGGCUUCUUGUCAUCGGCAAAUUUGACUGAAUUGCCUCUUGAAUUGUUUUCUUGAAAAUAACAUAAAUAACUAUGUCAUGGUAGAAAUACUCAGCUCCUAUGCCCAGGCUCAUGUCCGUCAAAUUCAGGCCAGGCUCAGGACUCCAAUGCAUGUGCCUCAAUCCUCUCCAGCCAUCUCUAGGUACCUGACACCUAUGCUCACUUCAUCAUCAAGGUUGGCCUAGGUCCCCAAUGCCCAUGCUUGGGUACUCAAGGGCCAAGCCCAAUAAAUUAGGCUUCUACAACCGGGACCCCAGCUAUCGAACAUUCCUUAUACCACACGAAUAAUGUAUGUCUCUUAGAAAAAAAAAAUUCGACAAUGUUAAAUUCUCUGCAAAAUGAACAAUCCGAUCUUUGAAACAAAUGGUUGCCCCCAAACGACUCCAACGGAUUAAUGUAAACUACGAACUUUCUUGGCAUGACUUCGAAUAUAAGUAGAAGCCCCUCUCCAUUAGCCUUUCUGCGACCCAAACUUUUUGUUUGGAGCCCAAAGAUCUCACUGAGGAUCCUACUGGACCGCACCAAAGCCCAGCCGAGUCUAGCCGAGCACCACUGCCAACCGAGGAGGUGGCAGAAGAUAGAGAGGCCUGUGUAAACUCAGCUCCACAGCCGACUCCUGAUUCUUGUCUUGUUCUUGCUUUUGCUUAACCAGAGUUUCUCAAUCUCUUAAAGCCUGCACAGGGAAUGCGUCUAGAGCUUCCGAAGCACUCGUGCGCAUGCUGAGUGAAAUAGCCAAGUCUGUGAAAAUAGCUAAGGGUUUCUAGCUCUGCAAGUAAAAUUCAUAGACACAAAGCAAAUUGCCUUUGCUCCAUGAGAAGAUCACAAGAACUUCUUGAGCAAAAAGAGAUAUGUCCCACCAAAAUAGAGCGAGCCUACUAUCAAAAGCUAAAUGAAAUGUAAUAUAUAUGUAUCUAUACACGCCAGUUUCAGCUUCUUACAUCGAAAUACACACCCCAGGAAAAGAGAUACUCAUUUGAUGUACUGGGAGAGCCACCUGAAGCCCUCGCCGUAGCCCAUCUUGCGCACAAUGCUGCACAUGAAGACCUCGAGAGGGCGGACGUUGGUGCCGGCGAGGCUGACGUCGCCCUUCCCGGUGGUGAAGUUGGCGAGGCCCAAGUAGUACCGCAGUUCGUCCUCUGACACGGCGGAAGGGUAAUCGAUCUUGUUUCCCAAGACGAGGAACGGGACAUUCGCCAGCAACUCGUCCAUGAGGAGCGCAUCCAGCUCCUUCUUUGACUCGGCAAAUCUAUCCUUGUCGUAAGCGUCGACUAGGUACACUACCGCAUCGACCUAUAUAAAAGUUCCAAAGCAUUCAUCAUCUUCGACAGAGUGAUUGCUUCACAUGCUCCCAUACAUGUGCAAAAACAAUAUGAAACAACAAUCAUAUGACAUGAUCGUUUGAAGUUUUCCAAUUUCAAGUAUGAACGAGUGCCAACCAAUACAUGAAGGAAAUUUUUUCAGCAAAACUUGGUUCCCCUAUCGCGGCACCCCGUCAUCAUAGUAUAUCCCAGAAAAAAGGAAAUUUUCUCAGCAAGGAAAGACCAGUACCGAAUAAUACACUGGCCAACACUUCCAGUUGAUUAGAUUAAAUAGUAACAUCUGCUUAUAAACACCGCAAGUCAGCCACACCGGCUAUAUACAGUAUCUUGAAAAUGGAUUAGCAAAGGACACAAUAUUAUCUGAAGAGAACUAAAAGGGGGAGAAAACAAAAUCAACAGUGUGCAAGAAAACCAUAGUACCGACCACCAGAUAACAUGAAAACAUGUCACUUGCCGACCCAGACUACUGAAAGUGAAAAAUCAGUCCCCGUAAAUCCAAUUUUUUUUUUUUUUGGGCCAAUAUAAAGCCUCUGUUUAGAAGCAACGUAAGUACAACUGGACGAUGGCCAAGUUGCGGCGAUUGCAUAAGCAUUCCCUCACUUCAAUCCAACAAGGUCAAACCUGAUCUCAAAGUAAACUAAAGGUUCAAUUUCAGGGUUACCUGUUGAAAACUUAAUGCAGUAAAUAAAAUCAGUGAACUGAAAGUUAAGAGCCACGCAUCUGACUAUGUCAACUCAAAAGUCAAGAAACACAUCCACAGACAAGAAUGAAGCAUUCGAAGUGAUAAGUUUAACAUGAUUAAUCAAAAGCAUCAGAAUACUCAGUAGGAUGAUCUGCCCCACAUGCAUCAUGUUGCAUAAAAUUCAAAAACUGUUACAGAAUUCAUGAAUGAAUCGGCCAUAUGGUACCGAUUAAAGAGAUAGUCCCGAAUCAGGAGCUUUCAUAGGAGAGAAGAGGAGAGAAGAACUUUACCUUAGCGUAGUAGUCCCGCCAGACCCUACGAGCGAUCCGGUGACCACCCAAGUCGAAAGCUUUGAACUUUAUCUUCCCUAUACUCAGUUCCUCUGAAGUCGGGAACUGGGUGGGUGGGUGCUGAACCAAUCUCUGCCAAUGACAGGACCAGGAAGUGUGUUAUACACGCUACAUAUAUCUAUACAUUGUAUACUAAGAAAUAUACUAUAAAUCCAUACCACACAAGCGCGAGAGUCAUGCAAUCAACUCACCAAAGGACGUGCAGAGAGGACUCGAGAAACAAAAGGAAUAAACGACCAAAAUAAGAACAGACAAAAAAGCACAGUUCUCGACCACAAUAAGAGAAAAAGCAACUCCAGAACUGUAUGUUUCCAUUGAAGGGAGUCUCUGCGAAGUAAAAUGAACGUACCUCGUCCUUCAACAUGCGAAGGAGAGUGGUCUUCCCCGAAUUAUCCAGUCCCAAGAACAAGAUCUUGGCUUCCUUCUGCCACAGACCCAGAGACGCAAGAGCUCCAUAGAACCAAUCUACUAGAAACAUCGCUCCCUCUUUUUUCCUCUUCUCUCGACAAAACCCAAGUGAAAAUUCCCCGAAAUCUCAACCGACAAUGAGAAAGAAUCAAGAAAGUUGAGAGCUUGAAGCAACUUCAGCCGGAACCAGUUUUGAAUUUAUACUCUCCGUUUGGGGUCCUCAUAUCCGGUUGACUGCGCACGUGGCGCGUCGGGAGGGAGCGGGUGACUGGCUAUCCGCGGUGGACGUUGCUGCUCGUCCACGUGGGAGCUGCUGAUUGGGUGGGUUGCGUCUCGCGAAGGAGAUGACAACGUGGUCGACGCGGGAGAGGAGGUGCGACGGAUUGUACGGUCGGGAUGCGUUUGACGUUUCUGGCGAUCGGCGAAUCGGACGGACCAAGAUGAGGGGAUGAGGUAUCGCUCCUUGAUUGGCAGGAAAGAGGCAAGGUCAUUAAGAAGCUUUCUUUUUUUUUCUUUUUUCUUUUUAAAACUAUUUUUUGACUUCCGGGCAUUUUAUACUUGCAAAAAAAGGAAGAAGAAGAAGAAAUUUCCAAUUUAAUGUACAGAUUAUCAUCACAUAUGCAGAUUAGUGGUUUGAAUAUCAGGAAGAAUUAUGCAAAUCUCCUGCUGCCUUUAGGGUAAAUGCAUUGUUUUAUUAAUUUUUUUUUUCAGUACGGUCAUUAACCAUCGUUUGCAUUUUUUAUGUACAAAUGUAAUGUACAUGACUUCCAAAGUAAAGGCGUAUAUUCACAUUCUUUUUAUCAAAAUAAAUCUCUACCUUCUGUUUUUUUGGGGGAAAUAGGGAAAAAAAAAAAAGAAGGGAAAAAGGAUACAAUAAAUUAACUAAAGUGCCGGAAGAAGUGAUUAUCUAUAACAUGAUAAUAAAUAUAUUUUAUGCUAAUUCGUUUCCAACCUAGAGACACGAUCAAUUUGCCAUUUUCUAGAAAGUCAUGGUUUGAGUAGUGGGGCAAUUGAUGCAUCAUAGCUAGUCAAUCAUUAGGUGAUGAUGGAAAAGGAAAAAAGAAAAGAAAAAAGAGAGAAAAAGGCGAUGACGUAAAUGUGGGUAUCGUCAAUGAGAAACUUCAUUGCGCAGAUAUAGCUUCACUCCUCGUACAUCGUUCGACCUCGCAAUCCUUCACGGACGCGAAAGGAUAAAGAUCGAGAGGCAGAGCGACUCUCUCCAGAGAGAGAGAGAGAGAGAGAGAGAGAGAGAGAGAGAGAGAUGGUAGAAGGACGUGCUGUGACCAAAAAAGGGACGUCCGUGAGCGAGGGUGAGGAGCGACGAGCAAGUGAAGUGAGCGUGCCCAAGCCUUCUAGGAUAGGUGAGCUGUCGCGUGAGAGAGAGAGAGAGAGAGAGAGAGAGAGGGGCCUAACAGAAAAAGAUUCGGCUGAGAGGAGCGCGGCUGGUUUGGCAGAGAGAAGGGGGGGUGCUCGACGGGGACUGAUGAAAAUAAAGGUAGCGUUCGGCCGUGGGGUAAGGACAUCCGCGGUCAAACACUUGUCUUUGGGAACUCUGUUCUUUGGCUUUGUUUAAAAGGAAGCCGAAACGAUAGCUGGGUAUAAAAUAAAAACAUAUAUAAAUAAUCUUAAUAUAGAUUAAUCUACAAUAUGUAUCUUUUUGAUAUAUGUAUUGAUAUAUAUAAUGUACAUAGCUUCCCAAUUCUAUUUAAUUUGUCUUGAUUCCAAUCAAUCUAAAGUAAUCGAAAGGCAAUUCUUAAUAGUACGCUUCGAAUUCCUAGUUUUCUAAUUAUUUUUAAUACGAAUACCAAAAAUCAAAUCCAUGGACGACGGGGUAUGGAAUAUAGUAUAUUAAAAAAGGAAAAUUGAUUAAUUUUCUUUUAGCAUUAUAAAGAAGUAAUUGAUUAAGCAGUUAACAGAUGAUCUAAUAAGUUCUUUGGAAAUUUCUUUGGAUUUUGAAAAGAAAUAAAAUCUCGUUUUCCCUCGUCCACGAGCAUGCGCAAUUUGAACUAGCCGUCACUUUUGUCGAGUUUGAGCGUCACUUGCUAUUCUCUUUUGAGUCAGGACACAAGCUAGAGUUUAGAACAGGUCAAUUACUUCUCGUUAGUCCGUGCUCAUCGAACGCUUGAUAUAAUGCCUUAUUGUUGUUCUAAAGAUGAGACCGGGUUUUAUUUGCUUCUGUGAAAGCAUGUCGAGAUCUGUUUAAAUAUGUUUUAUUGACUUGAAAUAUCUUUUGUUUGGUGCGGGAUAAAUGCGACACCAAGGUCUAGGUUCAUCGACAUGCUAUAUUACUUUUAGUUAGACGCCUGAAACUCAUUCGACGAAAUGUUUUGAAGAAAUAUGUAAGAAAUAGCUGCUGUUUCUGUUCGAAUCGAAAGGUGCUGGUCAUUAACUUAGUUUCCAUGAAUAAUGAGAUCACUAAGUUGCAUUUUGUUGGAUAUAUUUGUGUGGAUCCUUCAUUGAACGGGAUGAGUUGACGGUGUGAUGGAAGACGUCGGAAAGUGAGCUCGUUUUAUUUCGGUGGUGGUCCAUGCUGGUUGGAACGGAUGACCAGCGGGGUGCGGUGGUGUAAGCUCCGGCGCCCGAGGAGGAUGUUGUGAUGCCUGGGUGUAUGAGUUCGAAAAAUGAAAGAGAAGAAAUUGAAGUUGCAGAGAAUGAAAGCUUCGGAGGAAGAAGAUGACCAGAAGAAAAGGAUAAAACAGGGGGAAAGACAAAAAGAGAAAAGAAAACAUAAUAAAUGAAAUAUUUAAAAUUGGGCUCUUUGGGGACGCGGGUCGGAUCCAAGUUGUCGGAUUGGGUCAACAGUCCGGAUUGGAUUACCCGGCCUGAACUUGUUUUCCUGCAUAUAAUAAUAUCAAAUUUUAAAAAGUUAAAAAAAUAUUUUUUAAAUGUAAAAUUAGAGAAAAAAGAAAAUUAAAAAUAACAUUGAAAAUUAUAAUAAUAUAAAAUGCUAAAAAUCGAAACCUGAUCAAGUAUUGUUUUCUCCACUUGAGCUUAGGCUCAAGUCGACUCAAUCCUCACAUAACUAUGAGUCAGCAGGCUUAGCAGUAAAACUUGGCAAUAAAAUCACAUAAGCUGAUCAUCCAGUAGUUACUUCAUGUGAAGAAUAAAAAAUGGUUAUACAAAGAGAAAAAGGCAAAGAAAGAAAGCUGUGGCAUACCAUUUUGAGUAGAACAAAUUCCUCCAUAAUCUUCACGGCUCAAAGCCAAGAGUCAAUUGAACAAUCGACGACAACCAGAUGAGAAGGGGAAAUGGAUGAAAUCUACAUGGCAAUAUGACUGCCAAACUAAUAAACACUACAUCAAAAUAAGGCACCUAAUUAUCGUCCCUUCCCAUCCCAUUCAACAGAACGAGGAAUCUCUACAACAUAAUUCAAGUACUAAAUUGGCCGAAAAGAAAAAAAAAACUAUUGUAGGUCCAGGCCAAUAUUUCACAGUUUUAUAAUAUGCAAGAAUAGUUCGAUUUCUUUGGGAAUAGGAAGCCAUGCAAAGAAGACCCUAGAAUUAGGCAUAAGGUGAUAGUGUGAUGUCGGUAAUCAAUCCAAUCAAUGAUUUUCCUUGUCACAUAAAUGUCCAGAGCAAGAUAUAUGCAUCAAUUAUCAAAUUCUAUAACAAAGGGCCAGAUCACCGAAUUGUUCUUCCAACUAAACUAGUCCCACCAAUUUAUGGUGGCUUCCCUUGAAACUUUACUAGCGAAAGUAAGACAGCUAUGACUACAUAGACAUUCUAUCUAUUCAUCUGCGACCAACCCACCGGCUUCCUUCCAACAUCACCAACAAAUUCAGUAGACCAAGCAUUCCGUAAAUGACUUACGCAUUUGUCAACACUUAUCAACUGAAAAAGAACGUCUUUGGUUACGAAUUGACAGUCUCAUGAGGCAAUAGCUCAAUUUCUCAAGUGAAGUAAUCCCGACAAAACGAAGGAAGAUUUGAUACUGUUAUCAUUUCAAUCAAUCAAAACAUAUUUUCUCAACAAAAUUGAACGAUUAUUCUUUAGAUUUGACGAGAUUUGAGUGUUAUGUUAGGGAGCGAGGGAGAGAGAGAGAGAGAGAUGAACUAACCUUUUUCGUAGUAACUAGAAGGGAAGAGCGAAGUAGCGUGAGGAGAAGCUCUAAAUAUAAGAAAUUGUGAAAAAAGUACUUUUUCUGCAACAUAUACAGUCUUAGUUGAUAGUAAAUUCCUUUAGUGUAUAUUUAGUAAUAUAUUAAACAGAUCAUAACAUUCUUUAUAUUCUGUAAAGUUUUGUAGCCAAUGUGUCAAUAAUUUUCUUUAUUUGUGAUAACUUUUCUCAGGCAAAACAAAUUUGACGGAUUAUGUUUUUGCCCUCUUUAUUCAACUAUCCCCCUUGAAUGUAAGACCGAUAUCAUAAAAGAGAGCUUUGACUUAUGAAGUUUCCAUGACAAUCAUAAUGUUUUGUGCACAAUAGAGUGAUAGUAAAGUAUCGUUGGAAAUGCUAUUUUUCCAUUUUUUUUUAAAAUUCUUCUAUUGAAAUAUGAUUAUUAAUAUUAAUAUAUAUAUAUAUAAAGGUAAAAUCUUAAAUUAAAGAAAAUGUGUUACUUUGUCAAUUUUUUUUGUUUUGCGGAUAAACAGCAACAGAAAAGAAAUUUGAGAUACGCAUCGUAAAUCUAAAACUUUUAGUACGACAUGCAAGUCUCGUGUUUGCAAGGGGAGCCUUCACACCAAACUUUUUGUUGGUGUCAAAUAAAACCAGAAAAAAAAGUCGUAGGGCGGGCCGGAAAUAGAACGUAAACAAACUUCAGGGGCGAAAACGGAAUUGUCAAAAAAAGAACGGAAAAAUGUGGCUCCAAGUCUCUCCCAUUCUCCGGCGUACAAAAUUGGAAAACGAAAAACAUCAAUCCCGCCAACGCUGGGAAGGUUCCCGAACAAGAGCACUUCGAGCUCGCUCGAAUAUCCGAUUCGAGACUAGAGAUCGAUUUGAUUCCGACUCGGGCAUCAUCAAUCGAUCGAAUCGCUCGAACAAGUUGAGAUUCCAUCGAGGGAGCGGGGCUCGGAGGUAGAGAAAGCUCGGUUGCUAAGCUCGGCUCUCGAGUUCGGAUUCGACGAGCAGUCCGCCAACAAGUGCUCGGACCAUCUCGUUUCGCGCUCUACGGUGACUCGAAUUGUUAUUUCGUCGCGCGUUCUUAUGCUAAUUAGCUUUUGUGGAGAUUAUGGAGGUGGCUCUCAUCCCCACGAUGAUGAUGAUGAUGAUGAUGGCUGUGGAAUCGUCUUGCUUUAGGUUUAAAUGCAUCGGAGCGGGUUUAGCGAAGUAGCAGUCCUACUGAUGAGCGAAAUGUCUGGCACUGGUCCAGCUUGAUGUGCUUAGGUUGCUUCGGAUGGACGGCGGUUUUUUCUUGAUUAUUGGCCCAAAUUGCGUGAUAUCUGGUCAUCAAGGAAUGACUUUAAUUGCUUGUGUUGCGGGGAUAGCUUGUGCAUUUAAACGUGCAUUCCUAGUUAAGGAGAUUCUUUGCGGUCAGUCUCAAGUCUGAUGAUGGCUAUGGAAUAACGGUCUACUUUGGAUUUGAAUGGGACCAGAGUUUAGGUCAUUGAGCGUUAGUCUCUUCCCCUGUUUCUUUGUGGGUUUGGCGGAGUAGUCCUAUUGACAAGUGAACUCUCUGGCUUAUAUCACUGCAAAUUACUUAUCGUGUCUUUCAAUGAUAACAAUAUCGUGUCUCUUUGACUAAGUGCAAAUUACGUAUUGGAAAUUGUAUGUUUUUGAUCUCUUGUUUGCCAUGGAUCUUGUAAAAUCAUCUCUUUCUUCUUUUGCUUUUCUCAAGGUGACAAAGGUCGAGAGUUGAUCACCGUGGAGCACUGUGGCGAUGACAUCCUAGCAGAACUUGUUGAAACCAUGCAAGAUUCUUAGGAUUGGGAUGAUUUGCAAGCUGCGAAAUCAGAAGCUCGUGGAGUUUUGACCAAUAUGUUUGGCCAAGAUAUCUAUAAUGAUGGUAAUGCAAUGUUAUACAUGCUGUCAAUAUUAUAGAAGAUUCUCCACAAUGUGUGAAAAAUCAAACUUUCCUUGAGGUGAGGAUUCCUCUACUGACAAUGAAGACAAAGAUGAUGUAUUGGGCAGUAAAAUGGGAAGGAAAUCCUCAUGUAUAUUCCUGGCCAAAGCAGUACUCUGAGCAAUACAUCCACCCAAAUUUUAGGCAGACAAUCUUCAAAAUCCAUGGUAUGCUUCUCCCAUAGACAUAGACAAUACUGCAAAACCACUUAAAUCAGUGUGUGACUAUACUUUUCUCUUAUAAUUUAUCAUCUGCUUGAUCAUUUCCAAUUUGCUUGUGAUUCUGCACACAGCAAAGGACCUACACAAUGUUCAUGUCCAAAAGCAUUUAGUAAAUUGCUUAUGGGGUCUCUCAUCCAAUCAAAUGUCCAAUAGACGGUCAUAACUUUUGCCACUCACUUCCAUGCUCUUCAUGAUCCAAAAUGACAUAUUAGAACUCUUUGGUCAAUAAAGAAGUUGAUUUCAGUUUUGGAUGAUGUACAAAUACAUAUAUUUCUCAAAUGCUAUGAGAGUACAGCAGAUCAUCAAAGUGUGGAACAUCAAAGUGUGGAACUUAGCAAUCCAGCGUCUUUGAUAGGAAUGUUUUGUGUAAAUGAAGGCUUGUGGUUUCUUUGAGCACAUUUUUCAUUUUCCAUGACAAUUCAUGUCAGAAACUAUUAGGUAUGGUAUAGGCUUAUUUCUGUUGAAGGACUGUAAGAGCACCGUCACUCAAGGCUCAAUAUCAUUAGUUUCAAAUAAAAGAGAUUGCUCUCAAGUUUCGACAUCCAAACAAGGGACUCUGAGUUAUGCGGAAUUCCAAGCCUUGGAUGACAUAGAAUUGGCAAAUGCUGUCAUAUUCGGAAACAAGGCAUUUCGACCAAUGCAGCCUCAAGCUUGUAAAGCUUCUAUAGCCAAGCAAGUUUGCCUAAUUCUCAUGCCCACUAGAGGUGGUAAAAGUUUAUGUUACCAGGUUAGUGAAUGUUAACAUUGUCUCAACUGGGUGAUGAUUGUAUGUAGAAGUGUCUGGACACAAUGUUAGAGCACAAGUGUUGUGCACUUUGCUCAGUGGUUCCACCAAUUAAAUGUUUAAGGGUAGACAUGUAUGUCAACAUUUAAGCUUUAACAUGAUCUUCUGAUCUGCUUUGUUUAGCAUUUUUACGAAGGUUGUGAACUUAAGGAAGGAAAUGAUUUUCAAAUGAAAAUUAAGCUAUAGGAAGUGAUUCAGGUACAUAAGCAUGGGUUCCAAUGUAUGGCAUCGGACAAAAGUAGAAAAGAAGGAAAAACAGUACAUUCUCGUUCUGCCUUUGCACUUCUCUAUCUGGUCUGUAAUUUUUUGGAUUUGAAGUUUGUGCACACUUCUAGGACCUUCUGAUCACUUACAGGAAAAUUCAUCUUGUUUAUGCAUGUUAAGUGUUGCUGUCAGUCAUAUUCAGGUCCAAUUCAAAAGGGUUAUUAAGUCAAAGAGAAAUAAGUUUUCAAAGUACUUCCACCGAAUGCGGGUUCUUGAUUUUUAUAUUUCCUUUGCAGUUAUUUGCUAUGCCAUUAUCUCAACAAAGGGUGAUGAUCUAUGGCUUGUUUUUCCCAUAAUUGGUUUGAAAUUAAUGUGCUUCUUUUUCCUUUACAAGGGAUCUUAGUUGCAAGCAAAAUUAAUGAUAACUGAAUUAAGGAGGAAGAUAUAAAUCUGGAUCUAUUAAGUUGAAUUUUUUAGAAGUGUUUUCUGUUAGUCUUGAAGUAGUUGAUAUAUGUACUGAAAGUACUUAUAAAACAAGUAGUGACAACUGGUCCCUCCUGAUCAGCUGAAGGUGAAAGAAAUAAUAAUUCCAUUGUCCCUUCCUUUCUUCAUUCGCUCUUCUGAUGUUUUUACCCUUCGUUUCAGCAGCCGGCAACUCUAAAACCAGGUGUCACAGUUAUAUCUCCCUUACUAUCUCUCAUCUAGGAUCAAAUAAUUACUGUAACCCUCAAGUACAACAUGCAAUCUACUUUCUUGGACUCUCAACAGACUGUUGCCCAAUUGGCAAUUGUUCUCCGAGAACUAAGGCAAGGUUUAGCUCUAUUGGACUUCUAAAACUUUUAUGUCGAGUGUUGUGACUGUCAAAUUAUUAACCUCCACUUCUGCUUUGCCUGCCCUUUCAGAAAAGAUAAACAUCGUGCAAGCUAUUGCUUGUAACUCCUGAAAGGAUUGGGGGAAAAAUAUCAUUUCUCAAGAUAUUGAAUUGCUUGCACAGAAAGGUAUUGUUUCUGAUGCAAUGUAAGUUUUUAUCAAAAAGGUUCUUUAUAAUUUCUUGUAUCCGAUGAUAUUUUAUUGCAGGCACAACUAGCUGGUUUUGUUGUUGAUGAGGGACAUUGCGUGAGGUAUGCAUAAUCUUUGGCAUGCCUUGUACAUGAAGAAAGAUCAUGCUAGAGUUACGUCAAAAAGAAUAAUCAUUUGUGAUGUUGCCACUGCAAAACUAUUGUCCCUAUUCCAGAUAAAUAUAAGUAAGUUUCCUUUUAUAUAUAAGCUAACUUAAACUCUUUUUCCAAACUUUUUUGCAUUUUCUUUGUUUCUAGCCUUCUUAAAUUGUCAGUGUUACCCUAGACCUUCUGAAGCCCCUGUGAAGUUCUAAUAUAACAGAAUGCAAUGUUCCUUGUUUGAGCUUUGGAAAAGAUCUAGGUUCUAUCGUUUGGGAGAACUUAGUGGCACAUCAUUCAUUAUAUUGAGUAAGAGCACUCAACUUAAAUAAGCUGCAAUUGAAAUGACUUCCUAAAGUAAUUGGAAGUGGCUAGAAGUGGCAUAAGCUUGGAUAAGGAUGCCAUCUGCUGUCUAUGGUUGGCAUGAUACUCCAUCUCUUAAGCUGGUUCUUGUGUAUCUAUUUAUUCUAUUAACGGUUGCACUAUAUAUUGACAACUUGAGAAAGGCAAAGGUCCACCCAUGUGAUCAUUGAUUGUGUUUCUUACAAGGUAUUAACUGGAUUUGCUCGGCCAGUUCAAUCUCAUGAAAGGAAGAUGCCAUCUGCUAUCUAUGUUUGGCUUAAUACUCAGUCUCUUAAGGGUCCAUCCACAGGAUCAUUGAUCGUGUUUCUUAAAAGGUAUUAACUGGAUUUGCUCUGCCAAUUUAAUCUCUUGAAAGGAACAUGCUGCUAGUUCGAGCUUUUAUUAUACAUUUGCCUGAUUGACCACAAGAGCAUAUUUGUUGUCACUUUUGUGGUUGUCAUGAAAGGAACGUACUGCUUGUUCGAGAUUUUAUAUAUGCUAACUUAAGCUCUUUUUCCAAACUUCUCUGCAUUUUCUAUGUUUCUAGCCUAACCAAAUUGUCGGUGUUACACUAGACCUUCUGAAGCCCAGAACCCUAUGAAGUUUCUAUAUAACAUAAUGCAGCGUUCCUUGUUCGAUGAAAAGAUUUAGGUUCCAUCAUUUGGGAACACUUAGUGGCCCAUCUUUCAUUAUAUUGAGUAAAGAGUGCCUAUUUCUUACGUUUUAGAAGUCGAUUAACGCGGUGGAAUGACCCGGAGAAGCAGAGAAGAGGAGUGUGGCCAGAUACAAGCUUUAUUUGGUCAAGGGCAAGUUCAAGGCUUCUUUCAAACAAGGGUUCCGGUGGUUGAAGUGCAAAUGCUCGAGCUUUAUGUGUCGAUUUUUAAUAUGUAGAAAUUACGGAAUAUCAUACUCAUCAUCAUCAAGAGAGAAAAGGAUGAAAUCAGUCAGGAGGAAACAAAGAGGUUUGCUUUGUUUAUUGGCUAAUCAUCUUACAAUGUAUUUAAUGGUAAUUAGGUAUUCAGAAGAGUGCCACAAUGUUCGAUUUUUCCAGUAUAAUGUUUGUUUGAAGCCUUGUUUCAUUCAUCGGUCUCCAGCAUUCGAAACAUAGGAAGAUGAGACCACUCGUAUGUGAUAUUCACAUAUAUUUAUAUUUGCCAAAAGUUUUUUUUCCCCGAAUUUCCUUACCUUCUGAUUUAUCUGCACCAUGAUUCUGCAUGCAUGCAUGCAUUCUCGUGCAAAGUAAAAAUUGUCUGACCUGCUAAUUUCUCUUCUCAACAACAUGAUGCUGAUUGCAAAAUAAGAUGACUACUUUGGCCCCGUUUGGUUCAACUUUGGGGAAAUGGCUUUGCAUUUCCCCAAGUAUCCUCGAGAGAAUGGGCAUUUGGGGAAUGCAAAGUGUGUUUGGGAACUCAUUUUUGUGUAUAUUUUGCAAAGUAGUUUUGAGGUGAAAAGAAAAAGAGAAAAAAUAAAGGAAAAGAAAAGGGAGGAGGAGAUGCAGCUGUGGCAGUGGGGCUGGUGGUGGUGGGGAGGCGGCUGAUGGCGAUGGAGAGGCGGCUGGUGGUGGUGGUGGCGGCGGUGGGGUGGCAGUGGGGGAAGGCGGCUCGCCUGAGGUCGCCGACCUCAGGCGACACCCUCUGAGGUCGAGCGACCCAGGCGACAACUGAGUUGGGCGGCCUCAGGCGAUGCCGCCUGAGGUCGAGCGACCCAGGCGACUCCGCCUGAGGCCGCGCGACCUCAAGCGACGUCGCCUGGGUCGAUUUCUCCCUCCGAUCCUUCUCCGGCCUCCAGGUAGCGCGCUCUUGAACUCGUGGCCGUCGUCAUCUUCUUCCGAUCGUCGUGGGUUUUAGGAAGGAUUUUCUCGCCGUCGUUUUCUGGGGCUGUUGAGUGCCGCCGUCGCCGUCGCUGUUGGCGGUGUUGCCUGGGUCGCUCGACCUCAGGCGCGACCCAGGGCGUCGCCUGAGGUCGCGCGGCCUCAGGUGACGCCGCCUGAGGUCGAGCGACCCAAGAGACGCAGCCUGGGUCGCGCGACCCAGGCGACUCUCGAGGUUGCCCGACCUCAGGCCACCUCGCCUGAGGUCGUGCGACCUCAGGCGAGGCUUCCCGGCGGCCAGAUCUGGCCCCCCGGUGGCCAGAUCUGGCCGCUCGCGGCUGAGCACCGCUCGUCGGCUGAGCUUCGUGAGAGAGAAGGAAGAAGACGAUGAACAGUACUUUUCGAGGGCAAAAAAGGAAAACACAAAUAUCAAUAAGGGCAAUAUUGGAAAUAAAAAAAUUCAUUAAAACCUAGACUAGCAUUCCGAGAAUGCUGAAAGCCCAAAGCAGGUCCGGACCUGCUUUGGGCUUUCAACAUUCCAAAUGCUCAAUGCAAACUUGAAAAGCCGAACCAAACGCAAAAAAUUUUCCCCAAGGGGCUUUGAGGGCGCAAAGCCCCUUGGGAAAGCUGAACCAAACGGGGCCUUUCAUUUGUAGGAUUUGACGUUUACAUCUACUUUUGUGGUCGAUUUCGUUGUUUAGAACUUCUAUUAUUGGCCAAAUGUUGUUUUAAAUCCCCGUUUUGGGGUUCAUUAACUCCGUAAUUCCUCAAUUUGUCUAUUUCAAUUCCUCUGCAUUAUAUGAUUCAUCAUAUGGCAAACUACCAAAGCUAUACAUUCUAACAUGCAGCUAGCAGGUGUUAAAUAAGCUGAAAGGCCUUCUAUACUUACAUUCUGAUUUAAGGACAAUUUUCAUAUUCAACUACCAUCCUGUCGAGCUUGGAGUUACAAAUAUGAGGAAAUCAAAGAGCCUAAACCGAAUCUUCUCUUGUUCUUUGGGAACUUACAUAGUUAUUGUUUGAACGGCUGUUAUUCAUAGGAUCUUGAUGUAAAAUGUGAGAACUUCCAAAAACAAGCUCGAAGCAAAUUGUUAGCAUGAAACGAAAGUAGAAGAGAAAAAGGGGGGGAAACCAUGAACAAAACCAUAUCAGCUCAAAUCGGUUCAGAAUGUUUAUCCAAUUAUCCGGUCUAUUCAUGAGUUCCAACUUCAAAUCAAUUCGGCUGACGGGGCUGUGAAUGAUGUUUCAUAAGUAGUCAAACACAAAGAUACUGCCCUUUUGAUUAAUUACCUAGACACUGACUAAGCAGCUAAGUAAAUAAAGUGUAGAGCUGAUACAUUGACUUUACUUGCGACUUUUCUCGUGUAAUGUUUGACCAAUAUUCUGAAAUUAAAUUAUUUCCUGUUAAGUACAUUUAACAAGUUUUUCAACACGACCUGCAUUACAUACGUGUUAGUACUUAUAGAUUCAAAUGUGGCUUAACAAGCUACUUGGCCUUGUUUUGAGCUCUGAAAAAUUGAGUCAAAGUUCAAGGGGACAACAAGCACAUCAUGUCACGCCCCGAUCCUCAGGCACGCACACAUCCGUCUCACUUGGUCGAUUUUAUAAUGCGAUAUCCCAGGACAAUGUAUCGCCGACCCUUUCAUUUUUAAGCACAUGCGGAAGCAGUUAAAAUCCCCAGACAAUAAAACAAUGGGAUAGAAAAACAGGGCCAUAUUUUUCAUAUUGAAAUUUAUAACCAAACUUUUGUACAUGACAUCAACUAGAGAACUUCAUAACUAUUCACAUCAAUUGGAGUUCACAAAAGAAGAUGAAAUCUCAAUCCCUUCAGGUCAUACUCAAAAUCUCUCUCGGUAUUAUCUUCUUCUUCCAAAAGUCCUUCUACUGGUUUCACCUCCAAGUUCUCCUUCUCAGAUUCCUCCUCAGCUCCUCAAUGGGGUCCUGAAAUGUUUUUCCCCAAACUGGGAUGAGACUACGUCUCAGCGAGUUCUACCCCACUAAGCCCAAUUAGUAAAAUAUUAUACUAUAGGCUGCCUAAACACGCACAAGGAAGAGGACUUACCUUGGCCUCAGAUCCAACCUGCAAGUCAGUACAAUUCAUAAUAGACACCCAAGCAAUCAUAACACAGAUCGAAGCAUCGAUCAAAUCGACAUAGUCGAUUAUAUGCCAACAAGACCUCUCACGGUCAUUUCCAAUCAGUCAAUCAAUUCACAACAUCAAAUCAAAGCACUGAUCAAUCGACCACGUCGAUUACAUGUCAGCCUGACCAUUUCCCGGUCAUUCAAGCUAUUGCUAUUCAGACUCAAUUACCAAAACCAAUAACCGAGCCACGUGCAUUCUCCGAGGUAAUGCAUUACUUUACCGAGCCCACGUGCCCUUUAAAAUGCCAUUUUGAAUCAGCGAGCCCACGUGCAUUCUCCGAGGCGAUGCAUCAAGUCACCGAGCCAACGUGUCUCUUCAAGAUGCCAAAUGUACUCAUUGGGACCACGUGCAUUCUCCGAGGUAAUGCAUCAAUUUACCGAGCCCACGUGUCCUUUUAAAUGCCAAAUGUACUCAUUGGGACCACGUGCAUUCUCCGAGGUAAUGCAUCAAUUUACCGAGCCCACGUGCCCUUUUAGAUGCCAAACUUAAUCACCGAGCCACAUGCAUUCUCCAAGGCGACAUACUUCGUCACCGAGCCAUGUGCAUUCUCCGAGGUGAUAUACCUAAUCAUCAAGCCCCGUGCCUUUCAUGAUGAUUCAUCCCAUUUGUAAAGUAAUCAUCCACAAUCUUAAUUCGUACUCAAUUUACCCGAAUAAUCAAUCUAGGAACAUAUCCUAAAUAUCCACAAUUAAAUCAAUCUGGCACAAUCCAAAGCUCAAAUAAAUAAACGGACUGCGCCACGACAAUCAGCACGAGAUUUCGGUCGUCGGCUAACUCAAUAUUAAUUUCUGAAAAUUAUUUAUUUAAUUAAUUAAUUUCGAAAAUUAAUUAUUAAAUAUUAAAAAUUCCUUAUAGCUCAAAAUAAGGCCCAAUUGAAUAAACAAACUUCACCACGGUCAUCAGCAUAAAUUUCCGGUCAUGGACCAUCCCAGUUGAAUUUUCGGAAAAUAAAUAAUUAUUUAAUUAAUUUCGAAAAUUAAUUAAUAUUAAAAAUUCGAUUUAGCUCAAUUUAAAGCCCGAUUAGAUAAACGGACUUCACCACGGUCAUCAUCAUAAUUUUCCGGUUUCAGACCAUCUCCCUUGAAUUUUCGGAAAAUAAAUAAUUAUUUAAUUUAAUUCCGAAAAUUAAUAUUUAAAUGCCAAAAAUCUCACUUAGGCCCGAAUCAUUAAAUUGAAGCUCAAUUAGGGGUCCGAAAAUUCCCGAGACACUCCCAAUAAAUAGUAGACCACGUCUACUUCUUAAUUGCACAAUCAAUUUAUCUAAAUCGCAUCACAAUUGACUAAUAAUUGCUAAGUACUUCUAAUCUAACAACCUAAACAUAAUUAAUUAAAAAUAAACCAACAUAAAGCAUAAUUAGCCAACUAAUUCGGAAUUAGUGAGAUUGCUCAUCAAAUCGCGCGCAAAUCGGAUCAAUCCGACGGUGGCGAUGCGAGGAACGAUUGUUCCCAAAGCGACUCGCGGAUCCGGGAUCGGGAAACGGCCCAAAACGGCCUUGAACAGUGCUGGAAACCCAUUUUUCCAGCUGCUGUUCAUGGCCAAACGAGGCUGAUCCGGUGGCUGAGAUGGCGGAGCAAGGCCGGCGGAGGGCGAGGGGAACGUCGGGGAGUCGGGCGGAGUUGGGCGGUGGCCGGAGGUGGCCGGACGGUGGCUGGUCGGUGCGGACAGGGGCGAAACAGGGCUGAUUCGCGGCUGGAUCGCGCGGGACGGCGGGACGAUGGCGAGCGGCGGGCACUCGGGCGCGGCGCGGACGCGGGCGGCGGUGCGGCGGCGGGAUGAGCGGCGAGCAGUUCUCGGCGAGCUGCUGUCUCCGAGCUCCUGGUUCGCACGAGAAGAAAAGAAGGAGAAGAAGGGAACCGGUUCUGUCGUGAGGAGGAAGAAAGAAGAGAGAGGAGAGAGAAGAGAGAGAGAGAGAUAUGCACUGACCAGUCAAAGAAAGAGAGAGAGAGGGAAUGGGCGGUGGGGAAUCGCAUGCGGGGGAGGGGAGAGGAGAGAGAAAGAAAAGAGAGAAAAGAAAGAAAAGAAAAGAGAGGGAGAGAGAGAAAGAAAAAAGGAAAUGCAUAAUUCUUUAUUUCAAUUUUCCUUUUCUCUUUUCCUUUUCUUUUUAAUUUUCUUUUUUUUUUUGGUCUUCAAAUUUUCUUCCGAUAAUUUCUUUAUUGAAAUUUCGGACCCGUCAAUAAAUUGACGAGCGAUGAGACAAGAUCUUAUUUAUCCAGUCAAAUUAAAAUCCGAAAAUCUGGAUGUCACACAUCAAACCAUGAAUACCUUGCGAGUAGCUUUCAAAUACUAAAAUUCCACCAUUGUAAUCUAGUAUAGGGUACAAGAAUAUUUGAGAGUGACCUCAAAGAAAUUGCUUCGAUUGACACUUGAAUGUGUGAAAUAGUGACCGCAAUUUGGUGGAGUAUCAUCUCAUUAUAAACCAAUUAGAUGACCCUUAGAAGUUUUUUGUUCAAUAAAAAUGAGUAAAUUUUGGGAAGGGCUCUUUUCACCCUUCCAAAAAUUUUGUCCACGUUUUGUUAGUAGUCUUCAACUGCAGCCAAUGCUAGAGAGAAAUAGGUUUCAGGUGUGAAAAUAUAUACGGUUGGGUCUCUUCAGCUUUUAGAUUCAUGCUUAAAUAAAUCAAGUUUGAGAUUAUACAAUAAAAGUGAUAGCAAAAUGUGGACAUAUGAAUUUUCUGAUGUAGCACCAGAACAGAUGGAUGAUUUUACACUACUGAACACCUUUCUCCUGUGUUCAAAAUUCAACCAAAUGAGAAACUACUGUCUUCUUGUAAACCUUUUCACUGAAACUCUUGGCUGCAAUUGACAGAUUUUUUGCUGAUUCCAUGGCAUUCGCUUUUUCUAGUCGCAAAAUUGUAGCCUGAAGUGGACAUCUAACUGGUAAUGUCGUUGACAAAUCUCAUUUUAUGCUUAACUUGCACAAAUAAAACCACCUGCACGUGCGGUCUUCCCGCAAGCAAUUUGUGCUCGCGAAAGACAAAUACCCCACAUGAGAAGAGGCUGCUUCAUAUCCAGAAUCCUCUGAAGAGUAUUAACAACACGGAGCACAUGAUAAACGCCACUAGGUUCAGAAUACAUUUUCAUAAUGACAUAGCUCAUUCCUGAAAGCAUCUCCAUCGUGUGGUGUUUGGGGACUUUCUCCGAGUUCCAUGAAAUGCAGCUUGAAUCUACAUGAUGAGGAUAGGACUGACUCAUUAUUAAUAAAUAAAGAAAUGCGAGAUUGCAGCAUCACAAUUUACCCCAUGAAAGAUAAGGUACAAAUGCAUAAACAUCAUUUACACCAAUCGCUGUUCAACCACAGUGAACAAAGACUUCAUUAGAUGGCAGAAGAAAAAGAAAAAGAAAAUAGGCUUAAAAGAAGUAAACAAUUAGCAACAACACUUUCCCCGUUUGUGUUCAGGAAAAAAAUUGAUGUUAAUAAAAUUAUGCUGAAAAGGUGAAAUGCCUAAACUACAGAACAGAAAGACGUACUUGUUACUUGAUCAUUGGCAGUAUCCAAUCAGCAAAAUCAGCAAUUCGGGAUAGAUUGUGAGGAGGUCAGUUUCAACUUCACUAUUCAAUAAUGCAAACAUGAGAACUGAGCUUAUCAAAUCAAAAACCUAUAUGACAACAUUCAAAGGAUAAACUGAUAGAAACGGAGGAGCAUAGCAGUGCAUACCUACCUCUGCAUAGCCUCAUCGAGUUUAGGAGUGAUAUCCUUAGAAUGCAACCAUAUCAAACAACUCUGCAUCAGGGUAACAUACACAAAAAUCACCAGCUACUCAUUUGAUUAACAAAAAGAUAGAACCUAACGUGUGACAUCCUGAAAUUCGAGUCCUCUGAAGGACGAGUGGAUGUGAAUUUCGUCAAUGCAUUGUUGGUUGAUCUCACUCGGAAUUGAUCACUCCUGAGACACUGACCUUGAGGGGAAAGGCUACUGAGGACAGAACUCGUGCGACUAAAGGACUCGACCUGGGAAAACGACUUGACCGUGAGACUUGCGUGAGGAUGAUCCUGUAGAUAGGCAGGCCGAUUCUAAGGACGACUAAAAGUCGAUUCGCGGACAGAACAUAAUGGAACGACGGGUGAUUCCGUUUACUGUUAUCAAAUCCACGAACGACCCUAUGUCGAUCCUCAGUAAUCGUGUACUUUCAAAUAAGAAUCUAUCCUCCGUAAUUUCAUGCAGUCAAGGACGUCCAUGCGUCGAGAUGUCUUGUACGUGGUUUGGCACGAGUCGGUCACGCGUGAAUCCUCACAGCCACCCGUCAGUCUGAGUUGUAACCGAAAUGGCAUUUGGCGAAAUUGACAUGGCAAUAGAACUUAUGAUUGGACUUCGAAUUAUUGGGAAUGUCCGGAACGGACUUUGGAUGAUGCUACUUCAGACAGUCGACAGAGCCAGUUAAGCCGAGCAAUUGGAAAAAGGGAUUUUCGGACCGAGGAAGCAAGCCGUGAGGUCGUGGGCCGGGCCAAGCCAAUGUGGGCCCUAGGCCCAAAGUUGGGACAGCCACCAAAUGGGCCUAAGUCAAGCAAGUGAGCCCAUUGGGCCAAACCAACUAUUUCUCUUUCAAAGCCCAUGGUCCAACUUUGAGCCCAAUCAAGCCCAACCAAUUUCCAAGCCCACUCCUAUUCAUGGCCAAGCCCAUUUCUUAGGCCCAUCCACCAAUUUCAGCCCAAGGUCAGAUGUGUAAUUUGUGCAAGGUGGAAAUGACCAAAUUACCCCUAGUUGUAGGGAGAAAAGGCUAGAGAAGAGAGAGAAGAUGAGGCCAUCAUGGGCAUGGGAACUUGGGGCAGGUUUUAUGGAGGCUUUGACAGCCCUCCCAUCACUCUCUCUCUCCCCCAUUCGGUCCCCAUCUCGAACGGAGCUCUCUCUCUCCUCGUUUUCCCUCUCCUUCAGUUCCUGCUCCAGCUGACCCUUCGUCAAAGAAUCGAGUCAAAAGUGGUCUUCCCGGAUGAAUCAGACAACGAGCCACAUAUCACCGUGACCGGGAGAGACAGACCGUUCCAACGAGCCCGAUUUCGUCCCGAACGGAGCCACCGGCCGGCCUGGGCGCCGCCGUGAAGGAACCGGUCGCUGGUCCGUCGGUCCGCCUGCAGCCUGCACUGUUUCGCGGUUUCGGCCAUUUUUCUCCCAUUCCGGUCCUUCCUCCGCCCAUCCCAACCUCCAGCAAGACCCCCAAGAACCCCGGGAGCCACCGGUUGCCAACCACCCACUUGUCGGAGCUCCAAUCGGCCCGUUUUCGCCAUUGAAGCUGCUGGUUUCUUCUCUGCAGUUCAGCCAAGAUCAGAAGCAGAUGACAGCAAGGUUUUGGAGACUUUGUGGCCCGUUUUCAAGCCCUUCCCGGCCUCCGUUGGUGUCGCCGCUUUGGGGUUUAUCGACCGCCUUGGUGUCGUGGUCGCCGUGAACUCACCGGCGUGCAAAACCGGUGAGUUUAUCCUCUAAUUCUUGCUUAGUGAGUUAAUGACGCUUAAGGGGUGUUUAGAUUAGUCUAAUUAGGUUUAGGUGGUUAGAUUAGAUUAUUUUAAUGUAAAUUAGAUUAGUUGUAUGAUUAGCUUAAUGGAUGUUUAAUUAGGGCUAAUUGUAUGUUUAAAUUAGUGUAAUCUAGUUUAAGCCCUAAUUAAUUAUUUUUAAUUAAAUAAUUAUUUCGAAUUUAUAAAUAUUAUUUUAUUAAAUUAUAUUAUUAUAAAAUAAUAUUUAAUUGUUUAAUUUUCGGAAUUAAAUUAAUUAUUUAAUAAUUUCGAAAAUUAUGCCGGGAUGGCCGGUCGUUAGAAUUUCGCGCUGAUCGCAGCAGUGCGGUCGGUUUGUGUUAAUUGUAAGCUUAAAUUGAGAAAUUGAGUGAUUGAUGGUUAUGGUUAAUUAUUCCAAAAGUGUGGAAUUGAGUGAUAUUGAUGAAGUUUUGGUAUUUAACUUGAAAAUACCCGGUGUUGGCUUUUGGCACCGUAAUUGGUUGGUAGGUCCAGUUUGUAUCGAUUGAUUGAAUGGAUGUUUAUGUGGGGAUUUAUCCCAAAGUUGAUUAGUGUUGGUUUUGAUGGGAAAAUGACCGUGAGAGGUUGUGAGUUGAACCUAGAAAGCCACUAAAUCUAAAUUAUGCCGAGUGGGGCCGUGAUGCCACUACAUAUAACAUUGCCGAGUGGGGCCGUGAUGCCACUACAUAUAACAUUGCCGAGUGGGGCCGUGAUGCCACUACAUAUAACAUUGCCAAGUGGGGCCGUGAUACCACUACAUAUAGACUUGCCUAUAAGGCCGUGAUUGAGAGUCGAGAAUGAAUAGUCAGAAUGACCGUGUGAUGAUUUCGAUGACAUGUAAUCGACUGAGUCAAUUGAUCGAUGAAUCGAUCUGAGUGAUUGAAUUGUUUGGAUGAUGUGGUUGUCAAUAUUUAUUGAUUAAACUAACGUGCAUGAAGGAAUUGAGGCGAGGUAAGUCCUCUAUCCUAUUUGUGUGGCUAGAGCGCCCUGAGGCGUAUUUUCUUCCUAAUUGAGUUUUAGAGGGUAGGACUCGCUGAGACGUAGUCUCAUCCCGGUUGUGGGAUAAUAUUUCAGGUCCUUAGAUGACGGUCGUGGAGGACCGGAAGUCCUGGAGUUCGGAAGGUGGAGGCUGAAGAAUCGGCGAACGUGUCUGACAAGUUGGUCAUAGGACAGUUCCCUUUUUGUUGAGCCUGUCUAUUUUGUAGACAUCCAGUGUUGUAUAUAAACCUAUGUGUUUAUAGAAAGCUUGUUUGGUUGUGAUUGAUUGCCUGCUUUUCUAUCCCAAGUUAAAUGUUGUCAGGGGAUUUGUUUCGCUUCCGCAUGUGCAAUAAAAAAUGAAUGGGUCGGCGACAUGUCCUGGGAAGUCGCAUUUGUAUCGACCAGAGUGGGAUGUUUGCGCGCUCGGAGGAUCGGGGCGUGACAUAACGAGCGUACAAACAACAUAUUCAAUUUAAAAAACUACAUUUACUAUCAUUCAGGUACAUGCUGUUGAGACCAGAUCAAGUGUUUUGGAUCUUCACAAGCAUCAAAACUUCCUCAGAAGAUUCCACUUGGCCCACGAGCCUCUUCAAGUUUGGCACCUCAGCUGUUGCUGAUGCUUUCUCUGCAAAAUUGGUCUCAGGUAUGGAACUUGAAGUUCCUCAGCCAAGUGAGCCACACCCAAUUCAGUCAUGUGAUAAAAUAAUUCCAUGACAACAAUAUGAUAAAAUGAAAUGGAAACUAAUUAGCAAAUUCUUGAGCUCCUCGGCCCAGCUUGUUUCACAGAUGGGCAAAAAAUUGUCCAGUUAUGCAAAAGGCCAUCAAUACAACUGAUUGAAUUUAAGUCCCAAAGUAAGCCUUGAUCAUUACAUAGACCAACCAAAUAGAAGCAGCACCAGUUUACCUUGCUUGAUAAUAUUUCAAGACAACAUUUUGCCAACUGGUAAUUUUAAGAAAGGCGUACAUUCAUAUAUGACAGACUAGCCAAAACUACUUUAACAUUUCUUAAUCACCAACCAAAAACACACCGAUUCUCGUUCAAGAAAAAGACCCUAUAUAAACUCCAUCCACACUAGAGACUCAGACAAACCUUUGAUUGAGAAUUUGCAUAAAACAACUCGAUACUCCACUCUAGAACCCAGUACUUGAUUGAGAAUUCGCCAGGCGGCGCGAGCUCCAUGCAUCCACCUAAGAGAAUCUGGAAGGGGAAAAGUAAUGCUGCUCUUUAAGAAUGAACUGGUCUCUCUACUUGGUUUUAGGUAUGAAAAUGUACAUGGUUGUGUCUAUUCUGCUUUUAGAUUCAUGCUUAAAUAAAUCAAGUUUGAGAUAAUAUGACCAAAGCAAUUGCAAAAUGCCUACAUAUGAAUUUUCCGACGUAACCAGCCUAGAGAGAUUAUUUUACACUAAUGAACGCCCGUAUUUUGUGUUCUAAAUUCUUUCGAAUGAGAAACUACCGUCUUCUUGAAAACCUUUUCAUUGAAACUCUUGGCUGCAAUUGACAGAUUAUUGCUGAUUCCACGGCAUUUGCUUUUUCAAGAAAAAAGUCUCUCCUAGUCACAAAACUGUAGCUUGAAGUGGACAUCUAAAUGGUAAUCUUGUUAACAAAUCUCAUUUUUUGCUUGACUUCACAUAUAGAACCACUUGCACAUGCGGUCUUCCUCCAAGCGAUUAGUGAUGGGGCCUUGGUUAAAGAAUAGCACGAUUUCAAAGCUUGCAAAGGACUAAUACACCACAUGAGAAGUCGCCUUUAUCAAGAAUCCUUCGAAGAGUAUUAACAACAUGGAGCAAAUGAUAAACGCCAAGUGCAAAUAAUUUUGGAAUGCCUUUCCAUGCUGACAUAGCUCAUUCUUGCCCAUAUCUCCAACCUGUGGUGUUUGGGGAGUUUCUCUGAGUUUCAUCAAAUGCAGCUUUAAUCUGCAGAAGGAAGAUAGCACUAAUUAAUUAUAUUAAAUUAAGAUAUCCAAGAUCAUAGUAUCAGAAUUUACCCCAUGACAGAUAAGGUAAAAAUGCGUAAACAUUGACACCAAUCGGAGUUGGACCACAAUGAACAGAGACUUCAUUAGCUGGCCGAUGGCAAAGAAACCAACAGACUUAAAGGAAGUAAACAUUUAGCAACACUUCCCCUGUUUGUGUUUAGGAACAGAAUUGAAGCUAAAAAAAUAAUGCUGAAAAGGUGAAGUGCCUAAACUACAUAACAGAAAGAUGCAUUUGCUACUGGGUUAUUUUGCAAGUUCCAAUUAGCAAAAUCAGUAAUGCGAGAUAGUUUGCGAGGAGGUCAAUUUCAACUUUACAAAUCCAGUGCCGCAUACAUCACAACUGAGCUUAUCAAAUCAGAAACCUAUAUGACAACAUUCAAAGGAUAUCAUCACACAAAUAAACUAAUAGAAAUGGAGGAGCCUAGCAGUGCAUACCUCCCUCUGCAGAGCCUCAUCAAUUCUGAAGCGAUAUCAUUAGAAUGCAACUGUGUCGAACAACUGUGCAUCAGGGUAACAUACAAAAAACCAGUAGCUUAGUAUUUGAUUAAAGGAGAGCUAGAACCUAAUGAGCAUACAGAAAGCAUAUUUAAUUUAAAAAAAUACAUUUACAAUCAUUUAGGGAUGUGAUGUUGAGAUCAGAUCAAGUAUUUGAAUAUUCAGAAGCAUCAAAACUUCCUUGGGACACUCUAGUCAGCCCCAAAGUGUCUAUAAGUUUGGCAUGCAAGAUGGUCCUCAGCUGUUGCAGAUGCUUCCUUUGCAAAAUCCCUUUUCUUUAUUUUGAUCGGUCUCAAGUAUGGAAUUUGAAGUUCUUCCGCCCACUUAGCCACACCCAAAUCAGUCAUGUGAUAAAGCAAUUCCAUGACAACAAUAGGAUCAAAUGGGAUACAAACUAAUUAGCAAAUUCUUGAGCUCCUUGUCUCAGCUUGUUUCAUAGACAGGCAAAAAAUUGUCCUUAAUGCAAAAGGUCAUCGAUACAGUUGAUUGAAUUGAAGUCCCAAAUUGAGCCUAGAUCAUUAUAUAGACCAACCAAACCUGUCAUAGAAGCAGCACCAAUUUACCUUGCUUAAUAAUCUUUCAAAACAAUAGUUUGCCUACUGGUAAUGUUAAGGUGGUCAACAUUCAUACAUGACUAAUUAGCCAAAACUACUUUUAACAUUUUUUUGUCACCAACCAGAAACACUUGAACCUUGAAUUUUAUUUUAGCUCAGUUCACCAUAUUUACUUGGAAGUGAUGCUCUUCUUAGAGGGUUAAUGAGGGCCAUCAAGGGAACAAUAAAAAACUUGACAGGGUUUUCGUUCAUCACAGAAAAUCAGAAGGUGUUCAUCCUAAACAGGACAUCUGCCAUUACUCAAAUUUGACAUACAAAAGAACUAAAGGAACUCAAAAUGGCCAAGGAUUUUGAAAAGAAAAUAUGAACUUUGGACACUGGGAAAUUCCGAGCGUAAUAUACAAUACUGCAAUAAUGAGUAGCAGAAGUUCAUUGGCCUCUAGAUGAAAAUUUCAAAUCCCAGGUUUGCCGAUAGGGGAACUGUAAUCACUACGUAAUUCUUGUUUACCUUUGUUGAUAUUUUCAUUCUUGCCUCACAAGCUGCUAUCUGUUUGCAGUCUACAGAAGCGACCAAUGGAAGGAUAAAUGAAAAAUAUUGCUAUAACGUAAUCAACAACAAUUAUACAGAGGCAAAUCCAGAGUUUCCAAAAUGAAUCAAAUAGAUAUCCAGUGUGGAGAAAAUCAUUCUAAAAAAAUAGAGCUUCAAGAAAAGUACUACUCUAUUCGCUCACGUUGGAUGUUUAAGGAUGAAGAAUCUUACUAUGCCUUCUAUUGACAUUUGGGUCUACAUUUUGAUCUUGGCUGAACCAUCAUGUGAGCUUCUAUGACCAACUCCUUCACUCCUUCAAUUGUGCAAGAACAGCAAUUUAGGAAAGUACAGAUUCCUGUCAUAAAAAAAACCUUCUUGUCAAAAGAAGAUAGUGAUGAAAAGGAGGUCAAGUCAUGAAUCUCAGAGGAAAAAUGAUUGUUCAUUGCUUAUUUACCUCUGUUGAAGAAACAUGACUAGUCUCACUGUUGUAAUAUGGGUAAAAGAUUCCUCACAUCAUUAUCACUGCAACAUAAUAUUUCCACAGAGAACUCAAAAUAGUUCCUAAUUUCUAAAGAUGCGCGUUCCAGAUAAUUUCGGUAUUGCUUCCAAUGAGUCACAACCAGAAAUAUCCAAAUAAAUUAAAUUCAACAUUUCAAGUCCCUGAAGCUGAGUAAGUUUCUUGCAGUAUCGAACUGAUAGGGAUCGUAACUUCUCACAUCCCGUCAAAUCUGGCAAAGUCUCCAUUGAUUUGCAACCCCUAAAAUUCAACUUUUCUAAGAACUCUGCACCGUCAAGACCUUCAAAUUUGACUAGAUUGUCGCACUCAGAAGCCUUUAAUUCCUUCAAACACGGUAAUUCUAGACAGCAAAGCCUUUGAAUGGAAUUGCAUUCCACUAAAGAUAUGACCUCCAAGGAAUUGCACUUUUUUAUUGAAAGCUCUUCAAUGUGCGUGAGUCUGUUGAGCGUAAGUGAUGUUAGGUUAUCCCACUCCUCAAAACAGAGUUUUAGUGGUAUUGAGGAAAGCUUGCGGAUGUCUUCAAGUAAAUGGCAUACCUUAAGAUGGAGUUUUUCUAGGUGGUUGACGGCCUUAUGGCUAAGAAGCUGUUGCAGUCCAAGACUCAGACAAGUGACACAUAGAUAUCCUAAGCCCGCAGGAAGCUCUGGCAGCGACCGGAGCUUGUCACAGCCCGAUAGGUCAAGCUGUCGGAGAGACGAAGGAAGCUCUGGCAGCGACCGGAGCUCCUUACAGCGCCCUAGCGUAAGGCUUUGGAGAGAAGAAGGAAGCUCUGGCAGCAACCGGAGCUCCUCACAGCCCCUUAGGUCAAGGUGUGGGAGAGAAGGAAGCUUUGGCAGCGACCGAAGCUCCUUACAGCCCCUUAGGUCAAGGUGUGGGAGAGAAGAAGGAAGCUCUGGCAGUGACCGGAGCUCCUUACAGCCCCAUAAGUCAAGGAUUUGGAGAGAAGAAGGAAGCUCUGGCAGCGACCGGAGCUUCUUACAAUCCCGUAGGACAAGGUGUUGGAGAGAAGAAGGAAGCUCUGGCAGCGACCGGAGCUCCUUACAGCCCCCUAGGUUGCUCCCUAGGUAAAGGCCUUGGAGAGAAGAAGGAAGCUCUGGUAGUGACUGGAGCUUGUAACACCCCCCUAGCUCAAGGCUUUGGAGAGAAGAAGGAAGCUCUGGUAGUGACUGGAGCUUGUAACACCCCCCUAGCUCAAGGCUUUGGAGAGAAGAAGGAAGCUCUGGCGGUGACUGGAGCUUGGCACGACUCCCUAGGUAAAGGUGUUGGAGAGAAACGCUUUUUGGCUCACUGAGAUGCUUUUUUAUAGCAGAACAACUAAAGCCAAGAUAUUGCGAAUCCUGUAAACCCCCAAUUGAGCUGGAGAUUUCUCUCAGUAAGUAACACCAUGAGGCGCUUAGUGUCUUCAGCUUCCUCAGAGAACCAAUAAACAUAGGAAUCUCUGUAAUACUAGUUUCAUCUAAAUAAAGUUCUUCUAAAUCUUUUAAUUCGCCCACCUCCUGUGGUAGCUCCCUGAGAUGCCAACACUGACUCAAAUCUAAGGAAACGAGGCUCGUGAGUUUGCCAAUAGAAGGGUGGAGAUGCUCUAAUUUCUGACAUCCGCUCAAAUUGAGAAUCUUCAACUGUGUGAAAGCCGAAAGAUCAGGAGUACGUCUUAAAUUAUAGCAAUAUCUAAGCUUGAGAACUUUAAGCUGCUUUGAUGUCUAAUAGAAAAGGAGAAUAAGUUGUCAAAGAAUAGGUCGAUCGACUAAACAAAAACAAAACCCUAAAUUCGUUCUUUUCUCAAUCUUACCAUGAUUGACCUCCAUCCUUGCGAAUACUCUCUAAUCGCGCUCCCAAGUAAAUCCAGUAUUGAUAAAUUCGAUAGAUGCAUUGAAGGAGACAAGUCGCUUCGCACGACACUCCACUCAAGCCAUCUCACUUCAGAAAGGAGUUCGUUGUUGGAGGUUCCGCUUGAAGCUGCCCGCAAAUUGUCACGGAAACGGAAACAAGAGAGGUGUCUCCACAAAAUUUUGCGGAACGAGGAGGGGGACCUGGGCGGGAACCAGGCGGGGCGUCCCUGCGAGUUUUUAUAACUUUUUAGUUUUUCUUUUCUUUUCUUAAAUCUUGGAUUUUGCACUAUCUAUAUAACCUUUCUAUCCUUCCCAUGUACAAAUAUGGCUCAUAUUUAAUUUGUUUUGACGACCUUUCUGAAAAUUAAACAAAUGAUGUGAAAAGUUAAAAAAAAAAAAAUGGUUAUUGCUCUAAAGCAACUAAGGUAAAGGCAACUCAAUGUUUUAUCUUUUCCUUUUUUCUUUUAAAUUUUGUAGCGCAUGCACUUUGACUUUUAUUUAAUUCGAAAUAUAUGAAACCAUUUUACAACAUACAAAUGUUUACUUGUAAAUUUUCAUGACUUUUGUAUAAUUUUUCAAAAGAAUUUGUUGAAGAGUGCCGGUGGGCCACCCGUAAGUAGCUACGGAAACACCCGGUUUUCAGUUCAUUAUUUAAAUGUAAUAAUGCCGAAGAGAAAAUAUGGGAAAUUUUCAAUAUAUUUCCAUAUAUAGAAAAGAUUAUACGGAGAGUCUAUCUAUAAUUUUUAUUAUAGAAUUGUCUAAGAAAAUCAAAGAAAAUCAAACUAGAUAUGCAUAAUCAAAAUAAAUAUAGAAAAUUAGAGAAAAUUAUUCUAAAUAUCUCUAGAAGAUAUCUACAUAUCUUUAACAUCAUUUACUAUUGUUCUAAAGUGUUUAAUCAUUUGUUUGAAAACUUAAACGCUUUUUUUUUUGUUAAGUACGUUUAAAAAGUGACGUGUUGAUAUUGGACAAUAGUGUAUAAAUUAUAUCAUGAGGCAGCCCAAAUGGACAAUAUAUAAUAAUAAAAUGACAUGAGCAUCAUUAUACUCAAAGGUAUGGAUAUAAUAAUAAGUAUGGCAUUUCCUCUAAUUAGUCAAGUUUUCAUGGAUUUUUUUAUGAGAAAUAGUUGUAUGUGUUACAAGUAACUUAUAGCGGAUACAAAUUUUUGUUAUAAGAAAAUCCACUCUUUAUCAUACAUCUAACCUAAUCCAUGAAAUGAGAAAGGUCAACGUGAUAAAACCUUAAAAAAUAGUAAGAUUUUCCUAAAAAUACUUUUAAGGGGAUUUUUGCUGUCUUAUCUAUUAAAAGGAGAUGAUAAUUAAAAGAGAUAAAUAUAACUAGUAGAGUAAAGGGAUGCGUAUCUUCAAAAUCAAAUUGGAGAAAAAAAAUAUUAAACAUUGUACUCCUAAAUCAUAGGACUACCACCAAUACAUCUGGCCGUACCAAUAAGGAAGAACUAUGUGAUAAGUGUGAAAUUUUUUCCAAUCUUAUUGUUUUGAAUUAAUUAUCAGUUAUUAUAAUUGGCACAUGCUAUCUUUUUUUUUUUUUUUCAAUCAAGAAAUAUUCAUUUAUCUGAUCUAUGAUGUUUAUACUUCAUCUUCAUUCAUUAUUGUAGUCUUUAGAUUAUCAAUAUUUUCAACUAGAUAUGACAAUUACAUGCUUUUAGUAAAUAAGAUUUAUAGUGUAAAAUUGUAGUUAAAGGAACUUAAAUCGAUUGUUAAUCAAAUCUUUACAGAUGUAAUUUAUAUCAAUGAAAUUGAAUCAAAUGGUAUAUCGUUCUCAUCCUUUAAAUACUUACAAUCCAUUUAGCUAUCACAAAUAAUCUAAGAUGGACAUAAAUGGAUGUUUAUAUAGAUCUUUCUUCCUAAAAAGUAAGAGCAUCUAUUCAUCGUAGAUGAAACAUUAGAAUAGAUCAAACUAAAUAUAUUAAAACAAGAGGGAAAGAAAAAGAAAGGAGUGCCAUAUUUUACCUGUGCAUAGACUCUUAGUACUUUUGGGACUCCCUCGUAGUCAUCAUCCCAUGGUCCACUACGUUUCUCAAGUGGUUGUCCUUGGCAAAAAAUGCUCCUUCCAAGAUCUCUUAGUUGAUCAUGCACUAGAAAUUCACCAUAAUAUCCAAUUUUAAUUAAGCACCUCAACUUCAACUCUUCAAUACCUUGACUUGGAUAAAACCCACAGUCCUCCCACAUGUACAUGGCAUAUUCGCUCGUUUUGCUAAUAAAGUAACAAACAAUAUCAAGAAAAAUCUGUUUUUGUUCAUCUUCUAAUGCAUCAUAACUUAUUUGCAAUAACUUUUGGACAUCUCUAUGUGGUUGGUUUUUACAUUUCUUCUUCACAUCUUCCCAUACUUUUCGAUUUUUUUUAUACAAGUAAGAACCUACAACUUGAAGAGCCAAGGGAAGCCCACCCAUGUUGGAUAUGAUGUCACGAGAUAUACCCUCAAACUCCCUCGGAGAAUGGUUCAUACGAAAUGCAUGUCUGUUAAACAAAAGCAAAGCUUGCACCUUAUCCAAUUCAUUCAAUUCAUACUUGUAGUCUACCUCAAAUUUAGAUUGAUCAAGAAUAGCUUCGUUUCUAGUUGUAACAAUGAUCACACUUCCUGCCAUAAACCAAUCACGCUCCCUAGCCAACGCAUCUAGUUGACUCUUGUCAUCUAUAUCAUCCAAAAGAAUGAGAACCUUUUUCCUUUUGAAUCUAGAUUGAAUUAUACUAAUUCCAUCAUCAAUUCUAGACACUUGACUUUUGCUUUGUAGUAUAUCCGAUAUUAGUUGACUCUGCAGAUAUGUAAUACCGUGGCGCCUGGUAGUUUCUCGAACAUCUAGAAGGAAGCUGACAUGCACAAAUCUAUUUGAGAGUUGAUUGUAGAUGCACUUGGCAAGAGUUGUCUUGCCUAUCCCGCCCAUGCCAUAAAUUCCAAUCAUUCGAGCAUUGAUGGAAGGAUUGUCGAUCCAAUUCAUAAUUUCCUUCAUAUGAUCAUCAAGUCCAACUAGUUGUUCAGGCACAUUCAGCUGAAAAUCUUCCCGUAACUUGCUUAUAACAAUUUUAACCACAUGUUCUAUUAAUUUUCCCUCAUGCCUGUCAAACAACAAAAACAAUGAGAAGUCAUGAACCUAGACAUAGUUUAUGUGAAGUAUUCUAUCCUUAUCAAUUGAGCUAACCCUUGUUGGCUAUAGGAGCUCGAUUUUAUCUAGUGGUGAUCGAGCUUUGAAGAUCAAGCAUUGGAGUCAUUAGGAGGCCUAUUGUUUAGUGAUUGAUACUAUUGGCUAGAGGUAUCGUCGUUUCUUUGUUUUUUUCGCUCUAUACCGGAGGGAAAUGUAAAUUCUUGGGCACUAUGGGAUGCUUUAGUUUUAGUCAUCGUUGGUUUAGUUUUAAGGGGCAUCUUUGGGCAUACUGGUGUUUGUUGUCUUAGAGGCAUUACGGCUAUUUAUUUUGGGGAUCUUUUCUAAGCUUACAGUAAAAGUAGUUCAUCUGCAUUUCCUCAACUCUGCGUGAAGAAGAAAACUUAUCAAAAAAGAAAAGUUCAGUAAAGUACCCAUUCGCAAUUUUCUGAGAUUCCCAUCCAAUUAAGUGACUAACUUCAUUAAGUGCUCGUUGCCCCUCUUGGAUAUCCUUCUCAUCAAAAUGUUCCUGACUUGAAUGAAAGGCAUUUCCAAAAUUUCCUUUUAGAUGCCGCACAUCGGAUGGGGAAACUUUGUAAAAUAUAGGCAACACUAUGUGUGACACGCUCUUCUUACAUUGCAUGAUAUGAACGAGUUCGCAGAGGCACCAUUUGCUCGAAGCAUAAUUUUCGGAGAUGAUGGGGAUCGAAAUCUUAGACCUUGCAAUGGCAUUGAGAAUCUCUGAACCGAAUUCCUCACCAAUUGGGAUGCUGUUCUCGUCCCUGAACACGCAAAGCGGUAUCGUCCCUGCUUUGAUUAGACUGUGAUAGAGGUGAUCAGUGAAAGUAUUGCGGGUAUCCGAGCCUCUAAAGCUCAAGAACACGUCAUAUUGACCGCUACCUACACCUGUGACUUCUGGAGAGAUGAAUGAAGAAGUGGAUGCUCCUUCAGUGCUCUCUUCCUCUGCCUUCUUUUCCUUUCCCUGACUCUGCCCUCUGUCCAUGGUGAUCUAAGGGGGAAAGUUGAAAAGAAAGAUCCUUUUUUGGCUGCUUAAAAGGAUUGUUGAACAACGAAAGGCGCUUUUAGAAUGCUUUUCUGCAAAUGCUUGUUGGCUCCGAAUAACGUGUUCGUUAAUUCCCUAGGUAAUAAAGACACGACCUUCAGUUAAGUAAGCUACAUCAUUUCACUGCAGAAGAUUAGGUGGCCCUGAAGAGGCCCCCAAAAAGCCCACAUCAUUUACUUGUUAAGAAACAUAAAUUUGAAAUUAAACAAAAUACAUUGUAAUUAAUCGACUUCCCUAAAACAUAUUUGAAACAAUUACAUAACUUCACGCAUGUGUAUGAUAUUUGAAGGUGAAUUCUUUCAUUUCAAGGUAAGAUAUUGAAAUUAUGUAGGUAACUCCAUGGAAGCAUCUUCCUCUGGAUAUAUGCUCACACGAUGCCUAAUCCUUGUCAUAAUCUUCGACCUUGCUAUUAUUAUUUUUAUCCUAAUACAUAAACAACCCUAACUAUCUCCACCACCUCAUUUUUCACAACCCCUUCUAUGUAUUCCCAUGUCCAUUGGCCAAACUAAUGAAGUGUCACGUAAUUGUUGCCCAAUAAACCAGAUCCUCCAGAUGUGUGCACUUUCCUAAUUGGAGGUAAUUUCCAUUAUUCAUGUUUUUAAUUUGGUGGGUUUCGAGUUUUAGGCAUUGCUCAUAUGUAAAAUUAACUAAAUCUAAAACAUUAAUCAAGGAAAAAUUUUCAAUUGAUCAAUUGUUUUGAUUACGAAGGAAGUCGAUGAAAAUGAUUCUAAAUUAAAGAAAAAUACUUCCUUUUGGGCCCACAUUUUAUUUCUUUCUAAAAGUGCAUAGAAAUGAGAGGAAAUGUGAAAAUUGCACAUUUCUUCGAAUUGGCCUUACUUCCUUUUUAAGGAUGAAUAGAAUGAAUGAUAAUUAAGUCUAUAAAUAAAAUUAAGUUCCAUUAACAUCAUUUCCACCCAACAUGCAUCCUAACAUUUUUCGAGGACUUUUAACUUAUUUCUCCAAGCAAACUCGAGCUUCUCCAACAAGCUGAUACGCUCUUCUCUCUUCAAAUGGCUCGGAACAAGGUACUCUCCCUCUUACUUAACUUCAAUCAAUCUUAGACUGUCUUUGUUCUCCUUCCCUCCCUCCCUCUUUUCUCUUUUUGUGUGAAUGUUGCUUCUCUAUUCGUAUCGGGUUGUUUGCUUCACUUCUUUGAUGUUUUCAUUCAAAUUUUGUGAUUUCAUAUUUUAAUUUUAUUUAAAAUUGUCAUAUUCUUAAUGAUGUUGGAAAUGCAAGGUAGAGAUGAACAAAUGGUCGUUGUCAUUUCUCUCUUAUUUAUUUCGCGUUGGCCCCAAAUGCCAAUAAUUUUAUAUAAGAUGAAUCUAUGAUAUGAUGUUACCAAGCUAUUCACUUCAAACUUUCAAAUUUAAAUUAUUGAUUGAUAAAUUGUCUACAAAAUAGAGUUAUAAUUCGUUAAAUGACACCAAAUGAUCAUAACGCCUUAGUAUUAAGUUACUAAUGAUAUAUGAAAUACUCGUACACUGUCCUUGAGUUCUUUUCUGGGUCAUUUUUUUAUUACAAUUUUGUUGGCAUAUCAUUCAACUCUUGAAAAGUCAGUAAAACAGUGAUAAAAGAAGUAUGCGAAAUAUUCAAAAAAUAAAAGACAAUUUAGGAAAAAGCAUAGAAAAGAAGGGAAUGAAGUGUCCAGGCUUACUUUUAGAAGGAAGCAGUGAUAUUUAGAGGUAAUGUCCAAAAGCAUUUUGAAUUAUGAAUUCACAACACAUAGAAACUUUCAUGAACAUGAAUUGAAAGUAAAAAGGGGAAUGAAAGAUGUAUGGAAAUUUGAGGGCGAAAGUUGGAACAAAAAGAUGCAUUUUUGCGCAUAAAAAGGAUCGAUGAACUAAUCUCUAUGAACAAUAAUGAACAUAAAUCUGUUACCACAUAAGGAAAAACGAACAUGAAAUCUUUAAUUAAUUGGUAAUUGAUUGACUAGGAGCAGUUGCAUAUGCUUUUAGCCCUUGCGUUAUCUUCUUUUGGACCUCACACUAUUGAAGUCAAACUUGUUGGCUUGAUCCAUCCACGAGUACCGAGUACAUCAAUUUUUCAAUUGGGCUAUAAAGAACUAGAAUCUGUGUACAAGUAUAUUGCAUUCAAUUAAGAAUAUAAGUAUACGUUUGAUCUUUAUUUGGUUAUUGAAACUCAGAAUUUGAUAAAUCAUUUAAAAGAUAAUAAUUGAGUUGAAACGGAAUUAGAAAUGUGUGAAAGACUUCAAGAAAGGACCAAGCUAGUAAUUGUGGAUGUGAUUUUAUAUUUUAAUUUUGUUUGAUAAUGUCAGUUGGAAAUGUGAGGUAAAGAUAAACAAAUGGUACCGUGGUUAUUUAUCUUUUGUCCAUUUCACGCUGGAACCACAUGCUACAAUUCCAUGUAAAAUGAAUUUAUUUUGAAUUAGUAUGCUAUCACCGAGCCUUUCAAUUCAAAUUUUCAAAUCUAAAAAGUUGAUUGAUAUCUUGUCUAUAAAAUAGAGCUAUUAUAUGGCACCAAACAGAGGAGCGGAUGCUCCCUUAGUGCUCUCUUUUUUCUUCUUAUUGAGAUUAUUGAAUGUGGUUAUUUAUCUUUUAUCUAUUUCAUGCUAGCACCACUUGCUACAAUUCCAAUGAAUUUAUUUCAAAUGAGUAUGCUAUCACUGAGCCUUUCAUUUCAAAAUUUCAAAUCUAUAAAGUUGAUUGAUAUCUUGUCUAUAAAAUAGAGCUAUAAUUUGUUAGAUGGCACCAAACAUAGGAGUGGAUGCUCCGUUAGUGCUCUCUUUUUAUGCACUAUUUUUUCUUCUUAUUGAGAUUAUGAAUACAAGCAUAAAGACACAAGAAGCACCGCAAAGGAACGACCUGAAAUGGAAGUAGAAUACGAUAAUUGGCUAAAUUUGUGAUAAUGCAGGUAAAAUUGAUUAAUCACAUUUUGAAGAACGAAUUGAUUGUUUGAAAAGAAAGAGGUGUAAGAAAUGAGUGAUAUAAAGCUAGGUGACUCUCCUAAUAUGUGUGUAUGGCCCAAUUUAUUCGAUUGUUUUCAUGAGUGUGUCAUAAGAUUGAUUUAUAUUUUUUUUUUCUUACUAUUGGAUAUCAUGUAAAAGAUCUUAGGAAGAAUCAUACUAUGGACUUUGGUAUGUUUUAUAUUGCGAUGAUUGAAAUUGUCAUGAGUUGUGAGCAAGUAAAAAGUAGCAAUAUAGUUAAAAUGCUCAAACUCUCACCGUACUUUUUAAUUCCUCAUUUACUUUUCUUUUUUUCAAGUAAAGACUCAGUCAAUUUUUGAAGCUUUGAAGUGAGAAAAUGAUUUCUUUUUCUUUUUUCUUGCUAAAGAAGGGAGAAAAUGAAUCAGAGGUGAAAGCGAAUAUACUUUCUAGGAUUAAUGGUCCAACAAUUUGAGUAAAAUAGGAUAUUACUCAUUUGGAAUGUUCUAGAGGGAGGUAAAAUUAUUGAAUGAAGUCUCCUUAAGAGAAGACUUACUCUUAGGAUGAUUGGUUUUAGGAUAAAUGGGUUCUAAACAAAGAAUUAGGAACUUAUUACGUAAUGAUUGGUUCCCCUCUAUUAUAAGUUUAUAACCGAUAACCAAACUAGUUGACCCAGGACCAGCCCAUUUUUAUUUUUCUGAUUUAUUUUUCCAUAAAUUGAUCUAGGUUCUUCAAACAUAGAGAAACCUCACAAUGCAUAAAAAAAUAGAAUGGUCUAUGAAUUCAACCGAAAUGUGGCAAAUUUGCGUGCAACAGAGUCUAGUGCACUUACAGACCCACUUGCUCUAGUUCAACAAAAGAUCAGUACUAAAUUAUGAUGCAACUAAGAAUCAUAUAGGAAGGCCAUCAUAGGAUUAGCCACAUUUAAAGUUGAAAACAAAAGGCUUUCCUUUUUUCACUGAAGUCAAAUCUAAGCUGGGGACAUACCUCGUCAAUAGGCAGCAGCGACUCCAAAAGAGAGAAUAGAAGACCCUCCUCUGCUAUUCAACAACCACCCCCACAUCCUCAAUAGACAAAACGGGCCCAGAGCACACUUAGUUCAGCCGAUUAUUCCAAUAAUAAAGUGACAAAAUCAAAAUAAACUAGAUGCUAAUAAGAGAUGAAAAAGUAUUACCACAAGCGAGCUGAGAUGCGAAGAGAGGCACGGGAUCGGAGAGAGAGGAGACCGUAAACAAGCCUGGGCGAGAACUUUCAAGAGGGAUAAAGAGCGAGUGUGGACUAAUCGGUAGAUGAUACUCUCGAAUUGUUCUGCAAGAGAGAAUGCGAAUGAUAAGGUGAGAAAUGAGAGAGAGAGAGAGAGAGGACCGAUUAGUAGUAGGCGAUAGUCUCGAAUUAUUAUUGAUGAACCGAUAUCCUCAUAUGGAUGAUUGACUAGUAGCAACAAAAUUGUUUUCUGGUGGCAAGCUACGUCAAGCCACACAAUAUGGACCAGAGUACGGAAUGACCACUUCUGCUCAUAUCUACUUAGAGUUGUUAAACUAAUAAAUGUGGCUCUAACCGACAUGUGAAUCUUCCGUUAUAUUAUUUUCAAAGACAUUCUUACUUCUGUAAAUGCUAAAUUAUCCUCCCACCCUGAACAUGCAUAAAUCAUAUUGUCAAAUCCAUUGUAAGUCAGUAAUUUCCUACACUAUAUAUAUUUAAAAGUCAUGUCUUUGCUCUAAGCAGUAAAAUCGCAUGAAAACCACACUUUAUGAUGAGUUUUUCUAAUUCAAUCCGUAAAAAGAAAGUCCACCUAAAAAUUGUCCACAUAUUAAAUAUGUGUAAGUACGAUGAAAGCAGCAGCUUUGCUCACUUUCAAGUUUUCCAUUGUAACCAGCACAAAAAAUGGUACAAUUGUGAAUUUUUCAUAAUUUAUGAAAGACGUUUGAAUUUUCUAUCAUUUUUCCAGAAAUUACGGAAAUUGCUGAUAAAAUGAAAAAUGGUAUUAUGGACAUCCAAAAAUUCUUUGGUUGAUAUGACCUGUUCGAAAUUUUUUUUGUUGUUGAUAAUUCUCAUCCAUAGCCUGUGAAAGGUUUUGUGCGAUUAUAGAAGGAAAUAGACUAGCACCAUUGAUAUUUGGAAAAAUAUAGUUUUUUAAAUAUUUUCAAGAAAAAAAGAUAUAUUUUCACAAAAACCGAGUAUUUUGGAUCUUUCAUGCUUUAAGUAAUUGUGGACAAUUGCUAUAUGUAUAAGGCCAAUGAACCCAAAUUGAGUCUAGAAGGGUAUUUUCGCAAUUUUCAUCAAGUAGGCUUUUGUGUCCCGAGAGUUCAGUCAACCAUUAAUGUUUUGAAAACAACGUCAAAGAUAAGGGCCAGCAUGUGAUUCCACCAUAUUCAACCGGUCUAACUGUUCACAACGGUUUUUUUUUUUUCUAGGUUCAAAAUAACCAAUUAGUUUAAAUGAGAAGAUUUUAAUAAGAAAAAUUAGUAAUAUAUAUGAUGAUGAUUUUGAAAAAAUCGAGGGAGUUUCACAAGAAAUAUUUUGUAUGCCUUAAAGGAUGCUAGGCGUUAGGCCAUGAGUAAUAAUCGAAUAUAUUUUUGUCCUAUCAAUUGUACCAGACGGGAGAAUGAAGGUCAAGCUUACCUCGAGGAGCAAUGCAUAGAUGAAAUUACUGUGAUGGGUGUUUGAGAAGAAGUCGCCUUGAAGUAGAUCAAGUUGUAUUCGAGUUUCGAAAGACAGUACAAUUCGAGGAUCACCUUCACACCUUAGCCUAGAGCUAUCAAACCAAAUAUAUCUCAAAACAAAAAUGAGAGUCUCAAUGAUUUAUGGUGAUUGGUGUUUCUCCUCUUCAAGCACAAGCACUUGGGACUUUAAAUAAAGCUUUACUUCUUCUCUUGCCCCAAAGGAGACGCGUAAUCUUGUGGUAGAUGGCUUAUCUUAGAGGAGGCAAUUGUACUUCUUUUGAUUCUAACCUUUUUGACCGAGACCACCAAAACAAUCCCUUCCUAGAAAUUGGCAAGACGACCCCUGUAGCCUUUACUUGUUAGUUUUUUUGUUAUUGGAUCCCGUGGCCAACAAAUCACAGUGAAAAUUACCUUUUUGAAGAUAGGCGAUACUUUUUGCUUUAUCCUCACCUUUUGACAAUGGCUCCGCGUGGCCACUCAAAUUAUUGAUAGACGAGCACCCAUAUUGCCAAUUGACGUAGCAAUUAGAUUGUAAUUGGACCGUGUGGCCACUCAAAUCAAAUUGAAGAUGGGUGAUACUUUUUGCUUUAUCCUCACCCUUUGCUUUACCCGCCCCAUCAACCAAUGACCAGAUACUUUUAUGUUGGAGUCAAGGUGUUCACAAUGGAAAUUAGUUUUCACAUGAUGCUAUUUCAAAAGAGCUCCGCAGUCAUGUCCUUUAAUUAGCAACCUGCCCCAUCGACUAAUGACUAGAUACUUUUACGUUGGAAUCAAGGCGUUCACAAUGGAAAUUAGUUUUCACAUUAUGCUAUUUCAAAAAAGCCCCCGCAAUCAUCUCCUUUAAUCGGCAACUUUUGGAAGGUGCUCAUAUUGGAAAUUACUUCUUUUCUUGCGUCAAAAGAUCAGCUAGAUGUGCUUGGGAUACAAACAAUCCUAUCGUGGAUUUGCACGUCUUCAAUAAGGAAAUUUACUUCUUUAGCUGACUCUCACCUUUUGUUAGUUCUCUUUGUAAUGGGAUCACAUGGCCCCGCAAAUCAAAGUGAAGAUUGACAACAUUUUGCUUUCGAGGUAAAUAUAAUACAAGUGCCAAAAUUUUUGUACAACACUCACUUUGAUGCCAAAACAGUUGUUGAGAGCACUCCUUGGCCAUUGGGCAAGGGCUGCGAGUCCUUGCUAGCCGUACCGCACAAAACAGUUGUUGUCCACAUCAAUAAUUUUCAGCUGAAAUUGGCCGAAUUUACUACAUUGAUAAAUUGUCAAAAGUUGAUGACUAAAUUGGUCGAAUUAAAACGUUCAAGACUGAAUUGACACAAAUAUAAUAGAUUUAUGACAUUUUUUAUAAUUUUUUUUUCAUUAAAUCACAUGGAAACCACACUCAAUGAUGAGUUUCUUUGAUCCAAUCCACAAAGAUCUUCCUAGAAAUUUCCUACACAUUAAACUAUUUUAGAAUGAAAGAAGGCCACCUUCCUCCCAUGAAGUUCAUGAUGGGUUCUAGAAAAGAAAUAAUACAUCCGGGACCAUCUCAUGGUUAGAACAUGGUUAGAACAGUAAACAAUAGAGCAUUUUAAUUAAAUCUUUAAAAUUGAUUUGUGGACGAAGAAUUUUAACCAAACUAAAUUAGUGGAAGACUGGAGGGACGUUGUUGGUAUUCACAACUAAUGACGGAUUUCAACUGCAAUUUUCAGAUAUAGUAAUAACACAAAAAAAAAAAGGACAUGAACAGACCCAAAAUGGCGUGCCACUCUAAGUCAAGAAUGGUGGGUGCCUUCUUUUUCAAAAGGGUCUCAUGCAAUCAUACAAACCACACAAAGAUUAACCUUUAUUGCGAUGGGAUUUAACUAGUUAGUAAUAGAGGGACACGGAGCAGUUUACAGAUGCUUUCAGUCCUUGCCUUUAUCUUCUUUAAGACCUCACCCUCUAGUCAAGUCAAACCUGUUGGUUUGGUCCACUUCCGAUUAACGUGUACGUUAAUUUCUAAGUUGCAUUAUAAAAGAACUAGAAUAUAUUUUCAAACAUAUUCCGUUCGUUUAAAAAUAUAAACACGAAUUUGGUUGUUAUUUUGGUUAUUGAAGAACAGAAUUUCAUAAAUCAUAUCGAGUUAAAAAUGGAUUUGGAAAUGGCCGGAAGACAUGAAGAAAGAAUCUUAUGUGUAUCUGAGCCUCUAAAGCUCAAGAAUACAUCAGGGAAUCAUUUUCCCUUUCCUGUUGUUUUCUACAUUUGUGUCGCUUCCACUCUUUUUCCUCUUCUUGAGGAGAUUACAACCUAACCCAAAUCAAAUAAUUGGUGCCGCAAGCACCAUAGAAGAACGCCCUAAAAUGAACUGAUGCAUUCUCUGUUUGAUCUGCUUUGGGUCUUUCCUUUGUUUGAAAUACUCACGCUCGACUUGACUACUUGUGAAGAAAAGUCCUGAAAUUGAUACAUAUGCACUGUGUGGAAAUUAAUAGGUAAUUUACGAAUGUCAAAUAAGAAUCGCCAUUACUUAGAUGGGAUCCGGUCUAAUUUUCCCUUCUCAUCUAGUUUUUGUCGAUUGUUUGACCGAUGCCAAUCUUUGUUGGAAAUCCCCCCUUCCCCUGGGGGGUUGGAAAUGCUAUUUUUCCAAAAUUGGUAAAUCAUUCCAUUGAAAUAUAUAUAAGGGUAAAAAUGUAACUAAGAAACUAUAUUACUUCGCCAAUAUUUUCUUUUUGCUGAUGCACAGCAAAAGAUGGAAGAAAUUUGAGAUACUUCUCAUAGAUCUAUACCUUUAGUACGACACGCAAGUCUUCUUUUUGCAAAGGAGCCUUCACACAUAGUCCUAUCUACCGUGGUCAACAAUGACUCAAAUCCAGAAAAAUAAAAAUAAAAAGAACAAGGGUGUAAAAUGAAGCCAAAAGAACUUACAGGAAGGCAAAAUAGAGCUUAGACAAACUUCAAGUACGAAAAUGGAAUUUCCAAAAAAAUUGAAAAGAAUAUGGCUCUAAUCUCUCCCAUUCUCCAGCAUAUAUAAAAGUAAAAAGGAAAAACAUUAAUCUCGCCAUCACUUAGAAGGUUUUUCGAAAAGAGCACUUCGAGCACACGCUUUUAGCAAAGACUAGUGAUCAAUUCGAUUCCGACUUAUGCACCAUCGAUCAAUCGAACAGGUUGACUUCCAUGGAGUAUUGGGGCUUGGAGGUAGAGAAAGCUCGAUUACUGAACUUGGUGCUCGAGUUCGGCUUCGACAAGUAGUCCACCAAUAGGUGCUUAGACUGUCUCGUUUCGCUCCACAGUACUUGAAUUAUUAUUUUGUCACACAUUUUUUGUGCUAGUCAACUUUGCAGAUAUUAUGUAGAUAUUUCUUGUCCAGGGUCAAAUUGGUCUUGGUUUAUUUUUUAAUAAAUCGGAAUUGGUACAGCGAAGUAAUCUUGCCGAUGAGCAAAAUGUUUGGUACUAUUUCAGUUUGAUUGUAUUUAGGUUGCUUUGGACGGUGGUUUUUCUUGGUUAUUAGCCGAAUUGCAUCCUAAUGGACACUUAGAUGUCAAAAAUACUCACUUUAUAUUAACUUAAUGCAUCACGUGAUACACCCUCACGUGAAAAACCUUCAUUCCAUCACAUCAUUACUCUCUUUCUUUCCACCACUCCCCCUUCCCCACCAUUGCCAAUUAAUAUCACCAGCCUACGGUCACUCCCCCGACCAGCACCAACGACGCCGUCCACAACUUGGCCCCCGUCUGUCUACAUCUCUCUCUCUCUCUCUCUCUCUCUCUCUCUCUCUUCUUUGUCAUGUUUUGCUCAAAGUUGCAAUAACGCUUGACUAGAUCUAGUGUCGCAUUUGAGUAACUCUAGCAUGCAUCGAGUUAGACGCGGCAUUGGAGCUCAAUUAGAUAUAAUGUCGAGCAUAUGAGGACUCAUAACUCAAGUAUAAAUAUGUUGCAACAACCUAGCGCGAUGCCAAAUUAGGUCAUUGGAAUAUUUCUCCUUACAUAGCAUAUUCAUGUCGGUAUUUGCAUUUUGCAAAAGAAAUCUUUAUUAUGAAGAAAAGACUUUUUCAAAGAUUCUAUCAAUUUUUGUAUGAAACCGAAUUAAUUACCUUCAAGAAAAUUCUUUGAUGAGGGAAAGCAAGUCAAAGUCUUCCACCAUCCUGCUUGGUUAGCUGCAAAGAAAGCAGUUUGGUGAGGAAAAGUAAAUCAAAGUCUUCCACCAUCUUGCUCGGUUAAUUGCAAAGAAAGCAGUAAGGCAAAAGCCAACAAGACCUACUCAAAAGAAAGGGGGAAAAGGAUUGGCGAGAAGUCCAAGUCUUCCACUAUCUUGCUUGCCAGUUGCCAAGAAAGGGACAAGGUAAAAGCCGACAAGACCCACUCAAAAGAAAAGUGGGAAAAAGAUUCUAGCGAUUGAGAGCAAGUCAAAGUUUUCGGCUAUCUUUCUUGGUUAGUUGCACUGGGAGACUAGAGACCAUUAAAAUAUUGUAUAAAUAUAAUUUAUAAAUGAUGCAACGGAGAAAAUUAAUCACAACAUAAUAAUUGUACUGAAAUUUGUAUUUUACAAUGAAGCUUUGUAUGGGGUUUGCAUAGUUUCUCUUAAGUGUUUUAAUAAAAUCUACAUGUCCCACAAUAUUACGUAAAUACGCUACACAUGAAAAUCUUCAAUUUGCCUAUUGACUCCAAAUAACUCAUAUUGAUCUAAUAGCAUAAGUGGUAAUAUUAUUGUUCCAUAAUUAUACUCAUUUUCCUUUAAAUUGACAAGAGUGAGCCCAAAUAGAUUAUGGUCCAUAAAUGUAAACACACGAAUAUACGAUACAUGUAAUCCUAAAGCUAGUCCGUCAUCAAGUAUUUGAGGUGAGUUGAAAUUGAUAUGUGAAAGCUAUCUGUUACUUACCAUAGCGAAGAUUAGCUACCUGAUGAAGUUUGUCAAAUUUUCAUCUUUACUCGAAUUCAUAAAAUCCAUUUUCUUCUCCCCUGCUUGCUUUGCUUAUGUUAUUCGUGAUUUUUUUAUUUUUUUUUAGAUUUGAAUUAAAUCCAUCACUUUUGUGGCUCUAGAUUCAAUUUAGCACAUAUAUUAAAUUUACGGAAUAAUUCCUCCAUAUCACGAGAGGGCUAUUAAAGGAGUAACAUGUAAAACUAGUAGGAUUUUUGCCUUAUGUUGAGGGUGAAACCUGUCAUUUUCUGGCUUAACAAAUUUUGGACCUUUAGACUGAUCAGGGAUAAUCUGAUUUAGCCGGCUUUUAUUGGAUACAAACCAUCUGAAUUAAAGGUAACUCUAUGCUCUCUAAGUGUAUUCCAGAGCAAUAUUAAGAUAAACGGAAUAACAUUGGAUCUUUGACUCUUCCUUCUUUCAUCCAUUGACUGAGAUGAGACAUCAACGACCUAAAAUGGUAAAGAACAAAAAGGAAUAUAUUCAUUCAAAACCAUCAUCUUAGCACUACUAAAUUUAAGACUUCGAAAAGAGGUUAAAAAUCUUGGGUUCUACUGCGCAAUGAACAAAAGCAAAGGAUCAACGCAUGAAGAGAAUAAAGAUUGUUUACCUUCACCAGCCAAAAGAUUGAAGGGUCGACAGCAAAAUGCAAGAAAGAAAUCCAGAAGAAACCAUACGAGACCAUUUAUAAUUUAUAAGCAUAUACUGUCCUGGAAACAAUAUGCGUCCCAUUACAGGAAGGGCUGAAAGAUUGUCUUCAAUACAAAAUAACUGUAGUCAUAUGUCAUCUUUUUAACAUGUAAAAACAACAAUUUCUUUUAGCAAAAUUUGCCAACCCUAUCAUGAAGCGAAUGGUAUCUGAAAAGCACGUCACUCUCAAAUGUACUUUUCAUGCACAUGGCAAGAUGUUACGUGUUGCUCUAUGUCGCGACACUGAAAAAUUGACUUGAUCUCAACAUGAAAUUAGCAAUCUUGCCAAAAUGAACUCAUGUCAAAAGGUUAAGGACACAACUAGUAAAAUUAAAAAAAAAAUUAAUACUAAAUUGGCAAAUUGUUAAAAGGCUUAGGGCUUUUUAGACAAUUUUUCGAGAAAGAUAAGGGAGAAGAAGAUCAAAAACUCCACAAAUUAGAAAGAUGCAAGCUAACGAGGACAUAUAAGGGAUCACAUUACCGUCAUCCACUAAUCAUAUGUUAAAGACAUCCAAAUGUCAUUAGAAUCAGCGACAAUUGUCUUAUUAGGCAAUACUAACAUUUCGGCCUUCUCAUUGUUCACAUGAAGAGCACAGCGAAUCAUAAUGAAACAAGAGAAAGCAAUGUACAAUGAUAUACUCUUUAGUCAGUCAUCGAAUGUGUCCAGCAAAACCAUUUAUGGCUCCGUUGCCUCCAAAAUCAUAUCACCAAGCUUUGUAUCUUCAAGCUAACUUUGAAAGGUAGUCGCAUAUCACUUCUUUUAGGAACACUAUUGGGGAAAUUGAACAUGUGACCAUCCAAAGGAUCAAGCAUUCCCUUGCGGUGAUAUUAUAUCCAGCAAUCUGGUCAUCCAAUUUGGGCAAACUAGGCGAUGUUGGAAAGCUCUUGCAAUGCACAACUCAAUUAUAGCGAUCAAUCAUAAUAUUAGCAGGGUUAACUUUUGAUCAAAAUCAAAGUCGAAACUCAGUGACAAAAAGUAGGUAUCCUCAAGGUCAACAGUCUUUAGUGAAAUAAUAAAAUUGAUUCACGUCCAAUAUGUGUUUGGAUUGAGGUAAGGGAAAGAAAAUGGGGGGCAGUAAUAAUCUAGGGUCUUUCUUUAGAGGCGGAGCUGUUGGAGAAAUCUUUCCAGAAUAUUUUGAAGCUGACAAAACGUUUCUAUCAGUCUAGUCUGGAUAUUUGCAGACCGUCUGUUUAAAGUCUGAAGACUUUCUGAUCACCAGACUCAGCACUCAAGACUCAAGACUUAAGACUCAAGACUAUUCUCAUUGACAGUCUUUCUGAUCCAGUGACGAAGGAAAUCCAGAGCCGAAGUAUAUGGUUGAGGAUUUAAUCCUAUCCUCUGGAGAAGAUCUCUUGGUUGGAUAAAUAUAACGGAUUCAUUUAUUCGUAUCUAGAUCGAUUGAAGAUCCGGUGUCGACGAAAUAUUCUUGGAAGGUUCUAUUCUUGGAAACCAAGAUCCUGAUUGUAUGGGCGAACAUGAUUGAUGGGCUAUCGUUAGGUUCCUUUAAUAGCUCGAAUGAUCUUCUUAAUUGAUUCCGUCCAACGGGUAGACUGGAGGAAUUCCUUUGGUAAGUGCCAACGGGUAUGAUGGCAUAAAGGAGUAUAAAAGGAAGACGUUCCAGUUGUUUUAGUGUGUGAUCGAUAGAGAAAUUCCAGAGUCUGAAGCACUUUGAUUAUUAGUCGAUACAUUUUGAGCGAAAUUGUAUACACAUAGAGUGUCUAUACUUAGUGAUACCUUGACCGAGCGUGGUAGAUCAUCUACACCGAGAAAUCAAGGAAGAUCAACGCUAUAACAUCUCUUUGUUCAUAGUGGAAUCCAGCCAAUUGGCUGUCAGUGCAGAAGAGUGGACGUAGGCUUGAAUCAAGCCGAACCACUAUAAACCGCGUGUUCAAUUCUCUCUUUCCCUUACUCAGUCUUACGUUGAUUAUUAUUUGUCACAAAUCCUUCAACUGUCUAAGUAUUGUGCAAUUAUCAAGAAAAAUCAUUUAUAUACCUAUUCACCCCUCUCUAGGUACUCGUACUAGCUAUAUCAAUUGGUAUCAGAGCUCGUGUUCUUACUUUAUUUGAAGUGUUUUACUUCAGAGUAAAAGAUCCAUGGCUAGUAUGCUAGCACCAGGGCUGGUGGAAGGGCAAAACAAUACCAGAUCACCCUACUUUGAUGGAAAGGAUUACAACAUCUGGAAGAACAAGAUGAAAGCUUUCCUACGAUCAAAAGAUCCUCUGGAAUGGGACGUUGUAGAAAAAUGAAUUACUCCUACAACUGCAUCAGUCUCUGAAAGAGGGAAAGAAAUUGUUGAGACUAGCGGAAUGACUCAGGAAGAGAUAAACAAGAGACAAGCACUCGAUGCAAAAGCAAUUUACUCUUUAUAUUGUGCUUUGUCACCAACUGAAUAUAACAGAAUAUCUUCUUGUGUUACAGCAAAAGAAGUAUGGGACAGAUUACAUAUCACCUAUGAAGGAAUAGAUCGAGUGAAGGAGACCAGAAUUAACAUUCUCCUCGGUCAAUAUGAAGCCUUCAAAAUGAAACCAGGAGAAUCUAUAACCGACAUGUUUAGUCGUUUUACAGAUAUUGUCAAUGGUCUUGAGAACCAAGGACAAAAAAUUUCUAAUCCCAUGAAGGUGAACAAGCUACUGCGUGGACUCUCCAAGGAUUGGAAUCAUAUAAAGACUUCAAUAAGAGAGACGCAAAGAAUUAUGCCACUAUCUGUCGACGAGCUGAUUGGAACUCUUCAGUCUUAUAAAGUGGAACGAAUUAAUGAAAACGAAGAUCCAAGAGGUAAAAAAUCCAUUACAUUAAAAUGAAAUGAUGAUUCUAAUGAUACAGAUUCUGGAGAAGAUCUGGACGAUGAGGAGCUUGCUCUCAUGAUAAGAAGAUUCAGAAAACUGAAUAGAAAAGGAAGAAGGUUCAACUCAAAGAAACAAAGUUUCCAAAGACAGCAGACCAAGUCUGUUGAUGAUGAGGAACCAAACAAAGAUGUAGUUUGCUUCGAAUGUAAGAAAAAGGGACACAUCAGACCCAACUGUCCUCUUCUGAAGAAGAAAAGAGGAAAAGCUGAAAAGUUUCGAAAAGCUCUCAAAGCCGAAACCUAGAGUGAUACAGAGUGUGAAGAAAGUGAUAAUGAAUAUGCCAACAUAUGUCUGAUGGCACAUUCAGACUCAGACUCAGAUUCUGGAUCAGACUCAGACAGUGAAUUUGAGGUCUCCGUCAAGAAAAAGGUAAAGUGGUAUCUUGACAGCGGAUGUUCAAGACACAUGACAGGAGACUCAAAUUGCUUCAUAAAGCUUGUUCAAGUAAAUGGUGGAAAAGUUUCAUUUGGAGGAAACGACAAAGGAAGUAUUGUGGGAUUUGGAAUUGUGAAAAUUGGAAAUCUCACAAUAAGCAAUGUUUCUCUAGUGGAAGGACUCAACUAUAACCUUCUCAGCAUUAGCCAAUUGUGUGAUACUGGUUUCAAGAUCUCCUUUCAAGAAGGAAUAUGCUCUAGAAUCAGUAAAGACUCUACUCAGUCUUUCAUAGGUCGAAGACAUGGAAAUAUCUACCUCUUAGACAUGAAACUAAAUGAAUCGCAAUACCUAAUCUCAAUUCAAGAUGAAGUAAGCUUAUGGCACAGAAAGCUUGGUCAUGUCAACAUGAAGCAAUUAGCCAAAAUCUCAUCAAAGCAGCUUGUUCGAGGUCUACCCAAAUUACCAUACCAAAAGUCCAAUCCAUGCACACCAUGUAUUCUGGGAAAGCAGGUAACAAAUUCAUUUAAGCCAAUAAAUCAUGUCUCUACUAAUCAUGUACUACAGUUGCUGCAUAUGGAUCUCUUCGGACCAACCAGAACCUAGAGUAUUGGAGGUAAGAAAUAUUGCCUAGUAAUUGUGGACGAUUACUCCCGCUUUACUUGGGUAUAUUUCCUUGCAAGUAAGUCAGAAACCUUCUCGUAUUUUGAAAAAUUUGCUAAAAAGGUUCAAAAUGAAAAAGGAUGUGUUAUCUCAAGUAUAAGAACAGAUCAUGGAGGUGAAUUUGAAAAUCAAGAUUUUACAAAAUUGUGUGAUGAAUAUGGAUUUAAGCAUGUGUUCUCCUUUCCAUAUACUCCUCAGCAAAAUGGAGUUGUGGAAAGAAAGAAUAGAUCUCUUCAAGAAAUGGCUAGAACUCUUUUAAUUGAAAGUAAAAUUUCUUCACGAUUUUGGGCUGAAGUUGUUUCAACAGCAUACUAUAUCAUCAAUAGAGUCUUCCUAAGACCUAUUCUAGAGAAAACCCCUUAUGAGUUAUUCAAAGGUAAGAAGCCCAUGGUUUCAUACUUUCAUAUGUUCGGUUGCAAAUGCUUUAUAUUGAAAAAUGCAAAAGAUCGAGUUGGUAAGUUUGAAGAAAGAUCAGAUGAAGGCAUCUUCCUUGGAUAUUCUACAUCAAGCAAAGCCUACAGAGUCUAUAACAAGAAGAGCCAGUCUGUGGAGGAGUCAAUGAAUGUCAAAUUCCAAGACUCUACGCAAGAUGAAUCCAGUCAGACUCAGUAUGAAGAGUCUGAACCUGCUUCAGACCUUCCAAAGCUUACAACUCAAGAAGUAUCUUAGACUCUGGAAGUCCAGCAUCAAGAUGUUCAUGAAGAUUCAAAUAAAGAAAGAGAUCAUCAUCCAGAAAAAUUAACCAGUAACUGGAAGCAUAAGUCCAAUCAUCCCAAAGAUCUCAUUAUCGGCGAAAUUAAUGAAGGAAUUCGCACCAAAUCCAAAAGACGUGAAGAGUCUAGUGCUGUGGCUCUCAUUUCUGAAAUUGAACCAAAAAACAUAGAAGAAGCUUUAUCUGAUGAAAGCUGGAUCGAAGCUAUGCAAGAAGAGCUCAGACAGUUCAACAUUAAUGAUGUCUGGGAAUUGACAUCUAAACCAAAAGGUAAAACUGUUAUUGGAGCCAAAUGGGUGUUCAAAAACAAGAUGAAUGAAAAAGGAAAAGUCGUACGAAAUAAAGCAAGACUCGUGGCCAAAGGAUAUACGCAAUAAGAAGGAAUAGACUAUGAUGAGACUUACGCUCCUGUAGCAAGGUUAGAAGCUAUUCGACUAUUACUUGCGUUUGCUUGUUAUAAAAAUUUCAGGUUAUUCCAAAUGGAUGUCAAAAGUGCCUUCCUAAAUGGAUUUAUCCAUGAGGAAGUUUAUGUGGAACAACCACCUGGGUUUGAAGACCCAAAGAAGCCAAACUCAGUCUUCAGACUGAAAAAGGCAUUGUAUGGUUUAAAGCAAGCACCUCGAGCUUGGUACGACAGACUAAGUAAGUUCUUAUUAUAUAAUGGUUUUGUCAAAGGUAAAGUAGAUAAUACUUUAUUUAUCAAAAAGGAAAACAAAAGCUUUUUACUUGUUCAAAUAUAUGUGGAUGAUAUUAUUUUUGGAUCCUCUAAUGAAAGUCUAUGCAAGAAAUUGUCUAAGUCUAUGCAGGAUGAGUUUGAAAUGAGUAUGAUGGGAGAAUUAACAUUCUUUCUUGGUCUUCAAGUAAAGCAAUUGAAGGAAGGAACUUUCAUUUACCAAGAAAAAUAUGCUAAUGAUCUUGUCAAAAGGUUUGGAUUGGAAAAUUGCAAAAAGACUGAUAUACCGAUGUCAAGCUCUUUGAAGAUAGACAAAGAUGAAGAAGGGAAGAAAGUUGAUCAAAAGCUGUACAGGAGCAUCAUUGGUUCACUUCUUUAUCUUACUGCUUCUAGACCUGACAUUUUGUUGAGUGUUUGCAUCUGUGCUAGGUUUCAAUCAGAUCCUAGAGAAUCCCAUCUCAGUGCUGCAAAACGUAUUAUUAAAUAUGUUGCUUCAUCUUCAAGCAUCGGUCUUUGGUAUCCUAAGAAGGGAGACUUUAAUCUUCUGGGAUAUUCAGACGCAGAUCUGGCCGGUUGCAGAGUCGAUAGAAAGAGUACUUCAGGAACUUGCCAGUUGCUUGGAAGCAGGACAGUGUCUUGGUUUUCAAGGAAACAAAGCACUGUGGCUCUCUCAACAACAGAAGCAGAGUAUGUAGCUCUUGGAAGCUGCUGUUCGCAAAUUCUAUGAAUAAAACAACAGUUACAAGACUUUGGGAUUGAAGACUCAUGCACAGAAAUCAGAUGUGACAACACCAGCGCAAUCAAUCUCACUAAAAAUCCAAUCCUUCAUUCAAGAGCAAAGCAUAUAGAGAUUCGACAUCACUUCAUUAGAGAUCAUAUUCAAAAUGAAGAAAUCUCGAUUCAAUUUGUUGAUUCAAAAAGUCAACUAGCAGAUAUAUUCACAAAGCCUUUGGAGAAAAAUCAAUUCGAUUUUAUCCGUUCCAGACUCAACAUUUUGAAGCUCGAGGAAGUUAAAGUCUAGAGACUCUCCAACCCUCACUCUAAACCGUCAGACUCAGACAUUCAUGGCUAUAGACUGUAAGUUGAUAUUAUAUCUAAACUCGAAAAGGUACGAUCUUUCGUUCAGUUAAUUUAUAAUUUCCGUGAAAAACGGAAUCCUGCCUUUUCAAAAGGAUUAACUUUGGCAGUUAAUGAUUUUAAAAAGAGGUGUUCGUACACUUUCCUUGUGCCGAUUGAACUUUCCUUUUCAAAACUGAGUUAUAUAUAUACAGUUUUCUUUUUCACCCAAUCUUCAAAACCCUAAAAGGCAUUCUCCUCCCAAUCCGGUUUCUACUUCGUGUUCAUCUUCGAGAAAGUUGUCAUCUUUUCUUGGGAAAGCAAGUAAAGGAAUCUUUCAACGACAAGGAAGGAUGUCUUCUUCGAGGAAGUCUUCAAGAAUCACGAACAGGGGACCACAGAGAAUGAGAAGGGACCUACCCAUUUCGAUCUCACCGAAGAGGAAGAAUUAUCGAGUCAGCAACAGAGCCCGAUUCACUCUCCACCACGUCACUCAACGCCAUCUACCCCACAAGGUGCGGGUCAACAACCAGAGGAAGAAAUAAUCGAGGACACAGACCCUGUAAGAGUCCAAAAACCCUCUUUUAUUUACAAGCUUUACUAUGCGUUGAAAAGCACUGGGACUCCGUUGAACUACGUGGAUGAUUUUCUUAAAGAUAAGAAUUAUGGGAAUGAGUAUAUCUUUCUGCGACGAAUGGAAGAUUUGGGAAUUGCUCCCAAGGGAAAGGCUGAGGAAGCACUUGCGAACAUUCCAAGUGACCCUCGUAUGUCAGGACCAAAUUCGACUGACGGGAACGAUGAUGAUAAAAUGUUUAGUGGUUUUCAACCUAGAAUGGGUGUUGCUGCGAAGGUGAAGGGAAAAAGAAUGGAGUUGUUUAAAUCGAAGGAACAGGAGAAUCUGUUCUUUAGACUGCUGAAACGAGGGGUGAUAAACCCUAGGAGUGUUGAUUUCGAUUUCUUGGAUGCCAUCAAUGUGAACUUAAGGGAGAAGUUCAAUAUGCUUCAACUUGAGCAAUUUUGCACCAUACCACAGACGGUUAUGCGCAAUUGACAGCAUAUUUCUAUUCGAAUCUCAGCUUUAUAGAUGUGAAUAGAAUAUCAUUCAGUGUUCGAGACCAGGACUAUGUGGUAAACGUGGACAUGUUGGCGGACAUAAUUGGAGUUGAACGAGGACGCUAUCAACCGAUCAAAGUCUCAAUUGCUCGUGCCUCAUUAGAACUUGUCAAAGAUAGAGAUACAGAGGGAAGAAUCAUCUAUUCAAGGAUGCGUGCCAUCAAUAUCGUGCUACACAAAAUUGUGAUCAAUUGCAUCAGGCCGAAGUCUACAUCCAAGACUGACGUCUCUAAUUCCGAAGCAAAAUUGAUGUACGCAAUCAACUCAGGGAAGAAGUUCUCUCUCCCUCACACCAUUCUCUUUCACAUGUACAGAGCAAUGUCGAAAGACAAGGGCCAAUUGCCUUACCCAGGUCUGGUGACCAAGAUCUUCAGACACAUGAAUAUUGAACCGCCACAUACACUUUGUGUUCGACCGUGCGAUAAGAUGGUGGUAGGUUUGAAGAUGUUGACGAAGAUACGUCUAAAAGAACUUUCCAAGGCAAUGGAGAAAUUCAGAGUGAAGACUCCAGUACCGUCUGCUUCAAAGAGAAAAGGGAAGGAGGCCAUUGGUGCCCCAUCCAAAAAGAAGAGAACUCUCAUCUUGGAGGAUGAAGAUGAGGAGGAAGAUCUCACAAUCUCUGCCUUGAUAAGGACCAGACGUUCUGUACCUCAAUCGACAGAACUUCAGAAGAAACAGAGAGAAGAAGAGGAGCAAGCCAAGAACAGAGAAGAAGAAGAGCAGCGAGAGAAGGAGAAAGAAGCUGAAGAAGAAGGAAAAGAAGAGAAAGAAAAGUCUGCAGCUGAAUUUACAGAAAAGGAGAAUCAAGAUACAGAAUAGCAUGAUCAUCACUCUUCCCCAUUUGAGGUCCUAGAGACAGGGGGAGUUGGCGAGCAAGAAAGGUCCACACCUCAUGCUGCCAAUAGUGAAGGUCUAAGACAAUCUCCAGCAGAUCCAGAAGAGUUUCAGGCUUCUCAAUUGCCUGAAGAAGAACACGAUACGUUAACACCAAAUCUGCAAGAUUAACAGAAGCUCCAUCAUCUGCAUUCACUCCAUCCGAGAAAGCAAAUGCAAGUACACAGACGGACAAUUCAGUAGAUUUUCGUCGUAUUCUUGAUAUUCUUCUGGAAAUGCGGGGCCAAAUCUAUGCUCUGGACUGUGAAAUUCAAGCCAUAAAGAAUGCUGGACAAGCAUCUUCGGUUACCCUAGAGGACAAAAUGAAAGACCUCGCUCUACAAUUUCAAGCCAAUGCCAAAGGAGAGGAGGUAGCUAAACUAAGGGAAGACUUGAAGAGGCUAGAAGGCAUAGUCCAGUCCAUGGGAGAUUUCCAGAUCAUGCGCAUUCCCAAGCAGACCUGACUCCUUUCUCACCUUUUUUAAUGCUGACAAAAAGGGGGAGAAGCAAUUUGAACCAAACCAAUUUGAACUUUAAACUUUGACUUUAAAUUUGUUUUUGUGGUUGAAUAUGUUUGUUUUUUUAGUAUGACUUGAGUGAACUUGAAUUUGACUGAAUUGGCUGUGGAUUUUGAUGCUAGAUGCUUAACUGUUUGCAUUUAUAUCAAGUGUUGUCAUAUGGUAUUACUCAUGAAAGACUAACCAAUUUUCUGUGAAUGCAGAGUCUGGUUGUUUUAUUAAUCUUUAUGAGAUAGCCAUAUUGCUUGAGAAAUGUUUUUGCAGGUCAAAGUUGUUCAAAUCUACAGGAAAGUUUUGUCACCACCAAAAAGGGGGAGAUUGUUGGAGAAAUCUUUCCAGAAUAUUUUGAAGCUGACAAAACGUUUCUAUCAGUCUAGUCUGGAUAUUUGCAGACCGUCUGUUUAAAGUCUGAAGACUUUCUGAUCACCAGACUCAGCACUCAAGACUCAAGACUUAAGACUCAAGACUAUUCUCAUUGACAGUCUUUCUGAUCCAGUGACGAAGGAAAUCCAGAGCUGAAGUAUAUGGUUGAGGAUUUAAUCCUAUCCUCUGGAGAAGAUCUCUUGGUUGGAUAAAUAUAACGGAUUCUUUUAUUCGUAUCUAGAUCGAUUGAAGAUCCGGUGGUCGACGAAAUAUUCUUGGAAGGUUCUAUUCUUGGAAACCAAGAUCCUGAUUGUAUGGGCGAACAGGAUUGAUGGGCUAUCGUCAGGUUCCUUUGAUAGCUCGAAUGAUCUUCUUAAUUGAUUCCGUCCAACGGGUAGAUUGGAGGAAUUCCUUUGGUAAGUGCCAACAGGUAUGAUGGCAUAAAGGAGUAUAAAAGGGAGACGUUCCAGUUGUUUUAGUGUGUGAUCGAUAGAGAAAUUCCAGAGUCUGAAGGACCUUGAUUAUUAGUCGAUACAUUUUGAGCGAAAUUGUAUACACAGAGAGUGUCUAUACUUAGUGAUACCUUGAGCGAGCGUGGUAGAUCAUCUACACCAAGAAAUCAAGGAAGAUCAACGCUAUAACAUCUCUUUGUUCAUAGUGGAAUCCAGCCAAUUGGCUGUCAGUGCAGAAGAGUGGACGUAGGCUUAAAUCAAGCCGAACCACUAUAAACCGCGUGUUCAAUUCUCUCUUUCCCUUACUCAGUCUUACGUUGAUUAUUAUUUGUCACAAAUCCUUCAACUGUCUAAGUAUUGUGUAAUUAUCAAGAAAAAUCAUUUAUAUACCUAUUCACCCCCCUCUAGGUACUCGUACUAGCUAUAUCAGGAGCAACAAGAGGAUGAACUUGAUUUUCUAAUCCCCAAAAUAGUCAAAUGAUUCUUGUCCGUCUUUCUAAGUUACAUUGAAAAGCUUCAUUAAAUGCAGGAGCAUUCUUCAGACCAGUUGAAAAGUGCACAUAGGGUUUCCUUCCAAUAAACCAAGUAUUGCAGUUUUUACUGAAAACGCAGAAAUGGUAAAAUUGCAUAACAUAGGGCUUCCUUUCGAUAAACCACGCAAUGCAGUUUUUUCAUGAAAACACAGAAAUUGUAGGAGUAACUUACCUUUUUUCUUUUGGUCAUAGACUUACCUUGUUUAAACGCUAAAUAAUCUAAACUGGCCAAUAAUAUUUUUCCUUAGCCCCUGCACUUUCAGAAUUAAGGGAAAAUUAAAUUACCUUAUGGCAUCUUAUUCUAUAAAAAUGGAUCAAGCGUUGAAUAGAUUCCAAGUUGAUUGUUAUUUUGAACAUUCAUCGAAAUUGUUUGGAUGGGUGAAUUAUUUGAAUUAUUUCUAAUAUAUCGCAUAUUGGCAUGUUGGAUUAUGAUAUAUAGAUAUUGGAUUAGUGCUCAUUGUCGAACUGCAUAUUGAUAUGUGAUAUAUGUUUACCGAUGAUUCUGAUUUGGGGCUUAAUCACAGCCGAUGUGAAUUAUGAGGCUUUAACCACAGCUGAUAUAGUAUUUGGGGCUUUUUUUUUAUUUUUUUUGUUCAUAUAUUUGGGGCUUGUUACAUGACGAAGCAUGGUUGAGAUUGGGCAUUAGGGCAUGCCAGGGACGACACCACUUGGGCAUUGUUGGUCUGCACCUAGUUUAAAAAAAAAAAAAUCGAUAAAAAAUAUAUUUUUUCAAAUAUUAAAAAUAAUGAGAGAUUAAUUGAGGAAAAUUAAUAAAAACACAUUAUGUUAAACCCAAUUAUGACACAUCUUCAAAUAAUUUGAAAAAAAAAUUACAUUUAGUGGUGCUCUAAUUAAUGGCUCCACUCAGACGUCCCUCACCAUGAUUCAAAUAAUAUAGUGUCAUUAUUGUUCUUGCGUCCAUGUUGGGUACAUUCCUCCGGAGUUAAUUCUCGUAAAAACUAAUUACCCCCUACAAUAACCACUUCUAAAUUGUACACAAACAAGUUGGAUCUAUUUGACUUCCAAGAGUAGGCUUGUAACGAACAUAGAUUUUGAAGGUGCCAUGUACGCAGGUGGAAUGAGGGAGUCACAAGCCAUAAUAGAAAUAAUCGGAAAAGUGGUAGCUCACCUCUUCCACCAUUUCAGGUCCUCGAGGUUAUUUUCGCCAAUUCUAUCAAUAAGCUUGGAGUAGUCUACUCCCAAGUACUACUCCAACUCAUUGGUACUACUCCCAAGUACUACUCCAACUCAUUGGUAAACAAUGAAGACGAAGACUUAGCGGGCAAUGUAAUGUUUUCCUACUUAUAUAACAAAGACCAUAUAGGUUUGUGGGCACUGCUUAAAGAGGCCGCGUUGUUUGUCUGUGAGAUAGAACUUGUCGUGUAAUAUCAACCAACAUAUGCCACUUACAUAUUUGAGAGCCAUCUCAUUGUUAUCGCCAAUUUGUGUUCCACUUGGAACCCCUAACUAAGUCCCAAAUGUUUGUAAUAUGAAACAAGAGUAGUUUCAAGCUCCCCAACUUGAACCUUGGAUCCAAGAUAGUGGCUACCAAAAAAAGUGGGAUGUUUUUGUAAUAUUUAAGGAAUUUCACCUUUAUGGCCACUACCAUUUUGUUGAAAAAGGGAUCAUCCUUCUUGUUCGCCAAUUCAAUUGACAUUAGACAUAGAGUUGGAAGGACUCGAUUGCUUGACCGCUAAUCCAAAUCUUCGGAUUUGAGUCUUCAAUAGAUUCUCAGUUUUUCAUGUGGUUUGCAAGUUCAUUCUUGCAUUCCAAGGUCCAAGAGGAGUAUCAAUGGAACUAAUCCAUUUUUGUGUAAAUAAGAGCUUGAAAAAUCGGAAUGUGAUUGUUUCAAGCAUGAUUUCUGCUAUUAGUCAAAUCUUACGCAUAAAAAACUUGUCAAAGAUUUGUAAACGGCAAUUAAAUCCCCUAAGAAAAUCACUAAAUCUGGGCAGAAUAAGAAAGCUUCUUGAGGAAGUAAGCAUUAUACCUAGCACAAGAACAUAGGCACCUAAAUGGAAGAUGAAAAUCCCAAAACUAACCAGAUAAAUCUACAAAUCUAUACAAAGCUACGACACACCAUUUUGAUUUGAACAAAUUCCUCCAUACUCUUGGCAACUCAAAGCCACCUAAGGAUUGGCAAGGAUCGGCAAGGAUCAAUCUAAUGAUCAACGACGACCAGAUUUGAAAGGAAAAUAGACCUGAUCUCGUCUAAUUGAUUGUGAUUUUUUUUUUGGUAUCGGUCAUUUUUCUUACUAAAAGUAAUCUCCUAGUAACAUAUCAUCUUAUAACUUUUUUAACACAACGUAAUUUCCUUCAUGUGGUCGUAAGCUCUGUAGGUCCUAUAGUUUCUAAUAUUCCAUUAAAAAUUGUAAUAUACCUUAUAGUAAAUUUCUUUUCUUAUCGUUAGUAAUUUAUCGAAUGGAUACCAACUUUCGUUCAGUGUACAUAAUCAUCCUCACUAUUAGUAAUAUAUCGGCAAAAUAUCCUUCUGUAAUUUUUCUUAUGGAGGAUGUAAUUUUUGUUUGGAGGGCAUAAAUUUUUGGCGUCUGUGCCUUGUAAUAUUUCAUAAAAGCAGUAAUUUAUUUGGUUAAUGGUAAAUUUCUUUUUUGCAUGUUUAAUGAAAUAUCUGGAUUUAGUAACUUUCCUUGCAUUUUGUAAUGUUUUGAGACUUACAUAUUGGUAACUUUCCUUACUUAUAUAUUGGUAAUUUUCCUUACUCAUCUUAAUUUUUUUUAAUCAAAUGAAAGUUUGAUCACUUUUGCAUUCGUAACUUUUCUUUAACGCUUGCAAAUUCAAAUUAUGACUAGAAGUCAACUUUGCAAAACAGAUUUGACGUACCAAUUUUUUCCCCUUCUUAUCUAGUGGUCCACGUUGAAUGCGGGUCCGGUCUCAUAAAAGGAGAGCUUUGACUUACGGAAUUUCCAUUGUGAUCACGAUGUUUCGGCCAUAGCAGAAUAAUAAUUUUCUUUUUCGCCAAAUAGUAAAGUAGUGUUGGAAACUUAUUUUUCAAAAUUAUUUGAAGUUUGUUCUUUCGAAAUAUAUAUAAAGGUAAAAGGUAAAAAUGUAAAUUAAGAUAAGUAUUACUUUAUCAAAUUUUCUUUUUGUCUGUUGCUGAUACACAGCAACAGACAAAAAAGAAAAUUUGAGAUAACUUCUCAUGGCCUUAUGUAGGCAAAGAAGCCUUUUCCCAUAUUCCUAUCUGCCAAGUUCGAGAAUGAUUCUAGCACAAUAAAAGAUUAACGUAAAAAGAGCCAUAGCUCUUUUGAGGGGGGCAAAAAUAGAAUUUCAGCGAACUUCAGGCGCGAAACGGAAUCGGCUUCAAUCUCUCCCAGUCUCCCAUUCUCCAGCAGUCCCGCCAUAGUUGGCAAGGUUUUUUGAACAAGAGCGAUUCGGGCGCGCGCGCGCUCUCGAGAAGGUUGAAAUUCCACUCCUAACUCGUGCAUCAUCGAUCGAUCGAAUCGCUCCAAACAGGUUGAGAUUCCAUGGAGGAUCGGGGCUUGGAGGAGGUGGAGAAAGCUCGGUUGCUGUGCUUGGCUCUCGAGUUUGGCUUCGACGAGCAGUCCGCCAGCUAGUGCUUGGGACCGUCUCGUUUCCCUCUGCGGUACCUCGAAUCAUCAUUACCCCGUCGCCCAUUUUUUAUGCUGAUGUGCAGAGGUUGCGCUGGUCCUUCUCGUAGUCUGCUUUAGAUUUGAAUAGAUCGGAGCUGGUUCAGCGAAGUAGUCCUGCUGACGAGUGAAAUGUCUGGUGCUGUUCCAGCUUGAUGUGUUUAGGUUGCUUUGGAUGGUGGCUUUUCUUGGUUACUAGCCGAAUUGCGUGGUAUCUGGUCAUUAGGUAAUGACGUAAUUGAUUGUGUUGCGGGAAUGAUUUGUGAACUGAUCGAUCGUGCAUUCCUAAAUAAAGAGAUUUAUUGCGGUUAGGUCGUCAUUUUGACGAUGGCCAUGGAAUAUUCUACGUUUUGGAUUUGAAGGGACUGGAGCUGGUUAUUCUUGUCCUUAGUUCUCUGUGGGUUUUGUGGAGUAGUCUUCUUGACUAGCGAAAUGUCUAAUUUACAUUUGAACUAACUGCAAAUCACGCAUUGUGUAGGUUGUCUUUAUUUGAGUUUCUUUUUUUUUUUUUUUUUGGUCAUGGAACUUGCAAAAUCAUCUCUCUCUUCUUUUGGUUUUCUUAAGGCAACGAAGAUUGAGAGUUUAUCACUGUGGAGCACUGUGGUGAUGAUAUUCUAGCAGAACUUGCCGAAACUAGGCAAGACACUGAGGAUUGGGAUGAUUUGCAAGAUGUGGAAUCAGACUUUUUGUGGAGUUUUGACUGAUGUGCUUGGCCAAGAUACGCCUAAUGAUGGGUGACGGCUGAUGCAAUGUUGUGCACGAUAUUAAUACUGUAGAAGAUUCUCCAAAACCUGAGAAAAAUCAAACAUUACUUGAGGUGGAUUCCUCUACUGAAAGUGAAGACGAAGAUGAUAUAUUUGGCAAUACUCCGAGCAAUUCGUCCACUCAACUUCUGGCCAGACGAUCUUUAGAUUCCAUGGUAUGCUUCUUAAAACUGUGAAGUUGUCUCACUCCUUUCUACCAUAACCACUCCUUUCUGCCCUAACCGGUUUGAAGGGAUUAAGAAAAAGAAAGAAAGCAUGGUGUCUUGGCAUGUUUUUUCACAUGCCCCAAACUAAUUUGGUUGAUAGUUGUUAAGUUUGUGGCUUAAGUUUUUGGUUCAUGGACCAAGAUUUGAUCGAGAGAUUACAAUGUCCUUCUCAGAAAAGUCUUGGGAAACGUUUUCCACUUGUCUCAUUCGUUUUUGGCUGACUCUUGCAAUUGGGGUUUUGGUUAGUGAGAAAUUGAUUUAUUUCUUAUUGUAAUUCUCUCUUAAUCACUGUUGCACAACUCAUCCAAUGUGUCACUGUUCUUUCCUCUUCAACUUUUAUCUUUCCUUGAUCAUUUCCAGUUUGCUUGCAAUUCUGCUCAGCAACAAACCUUACAUGGUGUACCUGUACAAAAGCAUUUAGUAAAUUGUUCAUGAGGGCUCUCAUCUGAUCAAAUGUAUAAUAGAUGCUUCUAACUUACCAGUUACUUCCACAGUCUAUAAGAUCUAAAAUGACUUAUAUGAGAACUGUUUGGUCAAUAAAAAUAGUUCAUUCUUGUUUUGGAUAUGUAACGAUACCUAUAUUUCUCAAGUACUUUGAGAGUAUGGUACACCAUCCAAGUGUUGAACUUAGCAUCCAGCGUCUUUGAUAGGUGUGUUUUGCAAAAUGAAGGCUUGGGAUUUCUUUGUGCACAAUUUUCAUUUUCCAUCACCACGUGUCAGAAACUAUUUAUGGUGCUGAAGAGGCUUAAUUGUGUUGAAGCACUGUAAGAGCACUGUCACUCAUGGUUCGAUAUCAUUAGUUUCAAAUAAAAGACAUCACUCUCGGAUUUCGACAUGCAAACAAGGAACUCUGAGUUAUGAGGAAUUGCAAGCCUUGGAUGACAUAGAAUUGGCAAGUGUUGUAAUAUUCGGAAACAAGACAUUUCGACCUAUGCAGCAUCAGGCUUGCAAAGCUUCUGUAGCCGAGCAAGAUUGCUUCAUUCUCACGCCCAGUGGAGGUGGUAAAAGUUUACGUUACCAGGUUAGUGAAUGUUAACAUUAUUUCAUUUGUGUAAUGAUCGAAUGUAGAAGUAUGUGUGGAGACAAUGUUUAGAGCACAAGCCCUGUGCACUUUGGUGAAUGGUUCCACCAAUUAUAUACUAGACGGGUAGACCUAUAUAUCGAAAUUUAAGCUAUAAAAUGAUCUUGCAAUCUGCUUUGUUAGGACUGUUGAGAAGUUUAUACUGAAAUACAGGACAUUCUCGUUCUGCCUUCACCCAUCUCUGUCCAUUCUGUAAUUUCUAGAAUUUGAGGUUUGUGCUCUGCUUCUAGGAACUUCUUAUUACUUCCUGGAAAAUUUAUCUUGUUUUUGCAUGUAAGUGUUGUCGUCAGUCAUGUUUCAGGUCCAGUUCAAUAGGGUUAUUAAGUCAAAGAGGAAUAAGUUUUCAAAUUACUUGCACCAAAUACAGAUUGUAGAUGUAUAUAUUUCCUAUGUAGGUACGUGCUAUGUCAUCAUCUCAACUAAAGGUGAUCAUUUCCAUAAUUGGUUUGAAAUGGAUGUCCUUUCAUAUAAGAUGGAUCUUGGAAGCAUGCAAAAUAUCGGGUCCACUGAAUCACGAAGGAAGAUAUUAACCUGAAUUUAUUAAGUUGAAUUAUCCUGAAAUGUUUUCUGUUCAGUCUUGAAGUAGUUCAUAUAUGUUUCUAGCUGAAGUAAAAUUAUAAGACAAAUAGUGAUGACUAGUGCUUUCUGAUCAGCUGAAGGUGAACAAAAGAGUUAUUCCCCCAUCCCUUCAUUUGCUCUUCUGGUGUUUUUACCCUUCAUUUCAGCUGCCAGCAACUCUUAAACUAGGUGUCACAGUUGUUAUAUCUCCCUUGCUAUCUCUCAUGCAGGAUCAAAUAAUUACUCGAACCCUCAAGUACGGAAUACCAUCAACUUUCUUGAACUCUCAGCAAACCACUGCCCAGGUAGCAGCUGUCCUCCAAGAACUAAGGCAAGGUUUAGCUCUCUCUCUCUCUCUCUCUCUCUCUCUCUCUCUCUCUCUCUCUCUAUUCCUACUGAAGUAUAUCCUACCAUACAAUCUUUAUCCCGCCAUAAAAUUUUUGGCUCCAUAUGUUGCAAAGGAUGUACAUUUUUAUGUAGUUAUUGAAAAGAUGCAUGCCUAAGAUGUUUCCCUUGAAAAAAAUUUAGCAUCUUAGCCUUCUGAGAGAAGUAUAUCAUACCAUACAAUCUUUGUCCUGCCAUAAAAUGUUGGGCUAUGAUCCAUAUGUUGCAACGGGAUUUCCAUCGGACUUCUAAAACUUUUUUUUUUUUUGGCUGAGUGUUGGGAUUGUCAAGUCGUUAAUCUUCACUGCUUUACCUGCCUUUUCAGGAAAGAUAAACCAUCGCGCAAGCUGUUGUAUGUAACUCCUGAAAUGAUUGUGGGAAACUCAUCAUUUCUUGAGAUAUUGAAAGGCUUGCAUAGAAAGGGACUAUUUCUGAUACAUUGUAACUUUUUCUGAAAGUUUCUUUUGAACUUUUUGAUAUGUGGCCAUCAUGCAUUGCAGGCACAACCAACUGGUUUUGUUGUUGAUGAGGCACAUGGUGUGAGGUAUGCUCUUUGGCAUCCUUGUAUCUGAAGCAAAGAUCAUGCUAGAGUUACAUUAAAAGGAAUAAGUAUUUAUGAUGUUCCCAUGGCAAAAGUACUAUCCUCAUUCGAGAUAGAGAAAAGCAAGUUAACUUUUAUAUAUGCCGACUCAAACUCUUUUUUUUGAACAUUUUUACAUCUUCUGUGUUUCUGGCCUAAUUACAUUGUUGAUGUCACGCUGAACCUUCUGAAACCCCUAAAACCCAGACCUUCUGUGGAGUUCUAGUGUUACAGAAUGCAAUAUUGAAAUAACUAAUUAUGGAAAUGGUCUAGUUCCUUCUUUUGCAAAAAAUCAGUGGCGCAUAAUUUAUCAUAGUAAUCACAAUGCAGACAACUAAAUUUAGCUCCACGGAAAUUACUUUCAGAAGUAAUUGAAAGUGUCCAUGUUUGGCACAAUAGUUAGGUCUUUUACGCUGGUUCUUGUGUCCCUACUUAUUCUUUUAACUUUUAUACCAUGUAUUAACAACUUGAGAUAUAAGGCAAAAGUUCACACAUGUGAUCAUUGAUCGUGUUUCUUAUAAGGUCUUUAUUGGACUUGCUCUGCCAGUGCGAUUUUAUGAAAGGAACGUAUUGCUGUUUUGAGCUUUUCUCGAAUAUUUGAAUGAUUGUAAACAAGUAAAGUUUAUUGAUCAUUACCUUCUUGAUUGUCAUUAUUGCAGUCAAGGGUGAUUUUCGUCCAGAUUAUAGGGGACUAGGAUGUCUCAAGCAAAACUUUCCAUAAGUCCCAGUGAUGGCCUUAACUGCAACUGCCACUCAGCCAGUUCGUGAGGUACGAAACUUGCACAUUAUCCUCCAAAUUAUGUUGAAGAAAUCAUUUGGGUCUGAUCGAAAUGUACAUCCAUUGCAGGAUAUCCUAAAAGCUCUCAGGAUCCCCCAUGAUCUUGUUCUCUAGACAAGCUUUGACAGACCAAACCUAAAAUAUGAGGUGAUAUUUAAGACCAUGGAACCACUGAAGCAGCUUGAAGAGCUGCUAAAGAAACAUUUUGCUAAUUUGUGUGGCAUAGUGGAUCGCCUCUCAAAGAGUGAAAGCGUCGAUAUUGCAAAAUACUUUAAUGAUAAGUGCGGUAUAAAGACAAUGUACCAUCAUGCUGGAUUAGCGGCCCAUCAAAGAGUAGCUGUUCGAAAGAAAUAGCAUACUGUAGAGGUCCAGGUUGUACGUGCAACCAUUGCUUUUGGAAUGGGAAUAGACAAACCUGAUGUUGUAAGUUGAAAUGGACUCUAAGCCUUUGCCUAUUUUUAGUUUUAGAGUCGAGCUGACAUGCUGGCAAAUACUCAACUAAUUUACAUUUUUUUUUUUUUUUAUGUUUUAGUUUCACUGAUUGGUUUAUUAGUAUGCUUGGAAGUAAACUUUUCUGGUUCCAUGGUCCAGUGGCCUGGUAAAUUGUCAUUCUUGGCUAUUGAUUGCAACUAGCGAAUUAUGUGUUUUUUAUCAAGUCAGAUUCUUUCUUCCAUGCAUGGCACUUCGUUGUGCUAAAAUUAAGUUCAACUAGGAUAAAGUUCUUUUCUUUACUGUAAAAGUGGCAAAUGAAUCUGAUCUAAUUUGUCCUGUUAUAAUUUUUUUAUCAUAUGUCAACUUUGAUGGGUCAGUAAGUAUAUAUAUAUUAUGGCGUGUGGUCAGCGUUUUGUGAUCCACAACGCAAUGUCCAAGUCAAUCGAAAGCUAUUACCAAGAAUCAGGGACUGCAGCAAGAGAUAAUCCACCAGCAGUGUCCAUUGCUCUAUAUGCCGAAAAGGAUUUCAGCCAGGUUGUGUGCAUGUUAAGGGGUGAUCAAGGAUGUAAAACCGAAAUCUUUAAAAGUGCAAUGGCUCAAGCUAGGAAAUGCAGCAAUAUUGUGAAUUCAAGGUAAUCCAAUUUGUGUUCUCAACUUCAAUCUGAUGAUCCCACCUAAAUGAUGCUUCUUUUUUGCGUUUACACUCUCCACUUUGUUCUAUUAAUUGUUGUUAGUGUUCAUCUGGCAUUAUUCCGUCUGGAUGCUGGAUCAUUAGAUGGGUCUGUUGGCAACAUAUUCACAUAAUAAUGGACCCUUUGGGCUAAACUCAUACCGCACACCUAAAUGGAGCAAAGUCUAAUGAUGAACGGGUGUUUUCUCUCUAAUUUGUGAAUUUUUAGGAUGAGUGUCAGCGGCAAACCUUAUUUGCGUGCUUGGCGAGUCUUUGAAUCAAAAAGACUGUAAAUAUGGUUCUAAUCCUUGCGACAAUUGUCUCAAAGCCUCUUCAUAAAGGUAAAACUUUCAGGUAUCAACUCUCUUGAGGGCGAAAGUAGGUACCGACAUACGCAUGAUUUUGAGCCGCACAGUUCUUCUAGUUCCAUCAUCCAUUAUUAUUGAAAGACCACAUGGUAAUGGAGGGGCAAAGGUCCUUAACUAUGGACACAGAAUUCUUCAGUUGUGAUGGUCUUGUCAUCUCAUGUUUGUCUUUUCUUUCAUCUGUUGACAUGUUCCUUGUCUAGAACUAAUUAUUUUCAUGAGGGGAACAAAUGUGGGUCUAUGGGAACACGCCCUCCGGUCUUGACUGCAGAAGAAAAAGUUUCUUCUUUCAGUUCAGCAAAAAUUAACAAUGAAAGCAAAUUAUUCAAGCGCAUGUUGCAAUUCUUCUUUCCCGUUAUGAAUUAGUGAUGAAUGCAUAUCAUGACUGCGUCUAAAGUUAGUUUACUUGCAGAUUCAAUUUUUCAAGUGGUAUAUCUUAAGAUACAAUCGAUCGGUUGAAAACCUUUAUUAGGGUACGAUCAUCAGUUAAUCCAACUAUUGAACACUGUCAGUUUUCUGGCCAGCAAGCAUUGCAUCGGUGGACUGGAUUAUUCAAGUUAUUAGUGGACUGGCAUCUUAGAUCCCCAUUAUGCAAUAGUUUUUCAGAGGGCACAUGGCAAUGCAUCUAUAAUUCGAUACCAAGGGAUUUAACAUGGUUUUAUUAUUCCUAGGUCAGGGACAACGUUAGAUUCAUUUUGACUUGGACGUGCCAACUGCCCAAUAAUGCUCUCACGGGGCACUUAUCAGUUGUUUCUUUGUUGCAUUUGCGUAACAACUCACGGUGAUGAUUGCAUAUGUGUGUGGGUGUGUGUGUGAAUUGCAGCAAACGCUUUGCACUCAGAAGAGUAGUUGGAAUCCGCACGAUUUUGAUGACGGCACAGCAUCGCACAAGACGAGGGAAAUUGACAGUAUUGGCCCAGAAUAAGAUAAUUCAUUUAUUGCCUUCGGAAGUGAGGACAAAAUUGUUCCUCUGAAUGUUAGUGCGUGCAUGAGUCAUUUGAAAAGGAUUGUUUUGGAAAUAUAUUGGACUGGGCGGAUUCUCUUCGGCCUAGGAAAAGAAGAAGAAAAUUUGGGGUAUACCCAUCGUCCUCUGAAGACCACAGAGGAGAGCCCGUGCCGUAGUAAAUCUUCACGUGAGGGCAAAUAAGUUUUGGAAGCUUGUAAGGGGGUAGUAACUGCAGCUCAGAUUGCACGGGAUUUUAGAGGAAGAACGGCUGUUACAUGGAUUGAAAUAGAUAAAUGAGAAAUAAACAAAUAAUCCUAUAGAUUCCUGAUAUCAAUCGACAGAAAUCUCUUAUUUUAUAGAAGUGGCAACUAGUUAAUUAAAUGAGAAAUAAACAAAUAAUCCUAUAGGUUCCUGAUAUCAAUCGACAGAAGUCUCCUAUUUUAUAGAAGUGGCAACUAGUUAAUUAUGAUCGAGCUUGGUUGGCUCUAUGAUCACAUAAGUAUCAAAAUUACAAGUUUGAGUUGUGUUGUAACCGAAAGCAAUUGAUUUGUGCCCUUUGGUCCUAUUAAAUAAUGAAUUACUGACAUAUUGUUUAGUUGCAAUGAUGGGUUUGCCAUCGUCGAAACUUACAUUAUAGGCGAUACUUAAUGAUCAUGACUUAAAUGAAACAUUCUGUAAUGAAUAGGAAAAUUUUAUGGUUACAAUCAGGGAUAAACGAUGCGAAUUGACUGUCUCAACCCUUUAAUAUUUAUCAAAGGAUUGGAAGGUGAUUAUCCUUGUUCAGGAAUUUGAGAUGGUCCCCUUAUCGUUUUAAAGAGGAUCCUAGUGGCUAUAACACCGGCUAGUUUUUUGGUUAUGACUCUGAGUUGUGACGAUGCCAGAUGCUUCUAUGAGGUACAUGCGCAUGAUUGUACAUCAUAAGAGAUAUCAAAUUGGAUAAAGUGAUUUAAGUCUCCCAAAAGAAAAAGAAAAAGACAAGUUAAUGGUGACUUUGAUGUGACAAGAAACACUAGUUCUAAUCAGACUACCUGUCGUGAGGUAUUCCUCAUUUGUAUAUUUUCCUUGGCUUGUAUUAUAUCUAUUUAAGCAUUGUUUAUCCCAAAUUUUAUAGUUGUACUCAAAUAGUCAUUUUGUAGACUAUGUAUAGCCAUUGCAUGUAUGGAAAUUUCCAAGAACCUUCAAAAUUGGAACCUCUAAAAGGUUGGAUUAUUGACUAUCGAGAAAAGUUCGUACGGUGAUUCCAUUUCAAAAGUGGGACUGCAAUGAAGUCAUUUGGAAUGUGCAUGCAACAUUCAGAAAAAGGGAACAUGGUCUUAGCAGAUAAGCUACCUAACAUGGUCUUAAUAGAUAAGCUACCUAACGAUCCUACGUCAGUUUCGAUUAAAUGUUGAGUAUCACAUUGUCUUGUUCUACCAAGACCGAAAUUGUCUUUGUUUUUGGUCAAUGGAGGGGGUCUACGUUUCAUGCAUGUCAAGUGGCAGUGUUUGUAUGACCGAAAAAAAAGUGGCAGUAUUUGACCCUCAACCCAAGACUAUUAUGUAACAUCGUGUAAGAGGUAAAAUAGGUAAAGAAAAUGAAAAAAAGGAAACACGUGAAUUAUGCUUGAUGUCUUUGAGUACUGUUGUAAUUCAUUUUUUUGGAGACGCGCACUAAAGCCAAACGAUUUGUCUUUUUUGUCUUUUCCCUUUCUUUCCCAGCAAGAGAAAAGAUUGUUUAAGAGAAUUGACGUUAAUAAUCUAUAAACUUUGAUUCAACAUGUGAUAAUAAUUUAUUCAAUGUGAUCUUUAAAUUAUUCUUUAGACUUGUCAAAAGAAUCGUAGACUUAUUUCUUAAUCCAUAUUUGAUGUGAUGAGCUAUUAUAUAAAUUGGCUAUAUUCCAAAAAAUUGGUCAUAAAUGGUUUUAGGGUGGUAAAAACUAAAAUAAUAUGCAUAAAUAGACUCAUGCUUACUUGAAUUCAUUUCACCUCUAUGACUCUCUUUUUCCUCUCUCGCUCUCAUUAAAUCUUAUGCUCACUUUAUGCUCUCAUCUCAGUUUAAGCAUGAAUUUUCCUAAAUUAGGUUAAAUAUGAAAGUGUUCUAGUCAUAUGGUUAGAUUUGGUAUUAAUUGGUUUAAUUACAAAUCAUUAAAUUUGUAUUGCAUUGAAAUGUGUCAAAAUGAGUUAAAUUGAUCAAUUUGAGUCGAACUAUUUUCGACUUAAUCCACCCAUUUGAUGAGUUUACUUUCCUAAGGAAGAAAGUCAUCACAUUUCCCUAAUUUAUUGAUAGUUGGACUUUACUAUCUUAUCGCCGAGGGAACGAGGUUGAAUCUCCGAAUACUCACAACUUAAGUGGAGGUCCCAAGGGUGGUUUAUUGGGCCAGCCUCCCAAGGGUUUACGUCUAAAUAGUGGCUUGCGGCGAGACCCCACCGAUGUUAUCAAGUAUCGAAGGGUCAUGUGAUCCCCGAAGAGUGAUCACCGGCAGUCUCUUGGUCAUCAAAAGAAAAUAGCCAUCAGAUUUCCCUAAUUUAUUGCCAAAUGUGCAAUCUAGUCACUUAAUUUGCUUUUGUUAUUCUAUUGAAUUGAAAUGUAUCUUCUAGAAAUUUUGUUCACGACAAGGUGAGUAAGUUAUAAGACUCAAUUUUUUUGUUUAAGUUGGAAUACCAUUUUGUGUAACUCGUUCUAUAAAACAUUAUUAGUUACAAAAUGAUAUGCCAACAAAUUUUUUAGCCCAAAAGAACAUACUCUCUCCUAAAUUGCAACCUACCAAGUAUGCAAAGUAAAAAUAAUAACCGAAAAAUUAAUCCCAUUAGAUUUGGGAAGCAGGAACCUUUCCCCUUACCCUUUCUGACAGGACAACAAAAAGACACCAACCAGCAAAAAAGGAAAUAGCAACUUUUUCUCCAAUUUAAACUGGCUUAACUCACAAGACUGACACGUGGCGGUCGGACACGGCACCCUGACUCUCUGAAAAAAACAAAUAGAGAAAAUAAAAAAAUAAAAACAAAAAUCCUUUUUUAAUAACUAGAUCGCUGUCUCUUCCUCCUCAGAUUUUAAUGCUCAAAAACCAGUCAGUCUCUCUCUCUCUCUCUCUCUCUUCUUCCUUCUUCCUUUGGACACAAAUUCCAUUUUACUUUUCAUUUUUUUUCCACCAUUUUUAAACUCUCGAACUCCUCGCAUUCUCUCUCCUUUCCUCCUCUUCUUCCUCCUCCUCAUCUUCUUCGUCUCGCCAGAUCUCUCUCUGUAAUUGGGGUCAAGUCCGCCGGGCAAUCCCGGCGUUUGCCCGUUCGCCGGCCAUCUCGCCGGCAAUGCCGGCUCAGAUCUACUGUCGUUAGCUUGAUGCGCGACUCCGUGUGCUCUUUCUAAUCCUCACACCAACAUUCGGCGGACGGUAAGUGUGAAUCUUGGGUUCGCGCGAAAAAUUUGUGAUUUUGUUGGUGUGCGCUACUGUUCUGUUUAUGUGUGAAUCUCCACUUCAGUUUAGAGUCUGGACUUAGCAGGGCGAGGUAGUGAGGUCGUGUUCUACAAGCAAAGGGGGGUUCAGGAUUUUGGGAAAUGCUGUGUAAAUGAAUCGUGUUUCAUUUGAGUUAUGUGGGAAUGCUUGGUGUUGGUUCGGAUAAUGCACCGAAAGUGGUUGUUGGGUCGAUUCUUGGCAAACGUGGAAUUAGAAUUACCCGAGCUGUGAGUCCUGAAAUGCUUGCGGAUAGGGAUGGAGGGUUAUUGAAAUUUGGAUAAUAUGAACUGGGUCUCCAUUUUUUCCUGGAAAUCAUCCAGGCUCAGUACUUUAUUUGGGAGCAAUGACUGAGUUCCAAUACAGGUGGAACAAAAGCAAACAAUAAUGUAUUGUCCUCAUAAAACGAGAGCAUGUCUAUCCAGAAAUCAUGAACUCUCUAUGUGCUUAUGUUUCCAACAUAAAUUGAAAGCAAACAGAUGAUUCGGUUUCUUUCCGAGAGAAGAAAGAUGCACGGCAUCAAAACGGCACAUUUAUUAACCCCAUCAAAUCUGCUUUCUACUUGAUGUACUGCGACAUCCACUUGAACCCUUCGCCGUAGCCCACCUUGCGCACGACGCUGCACACAAACACCUCGAGGGGCCUGACAGUCUGAUCUGUAAGAUUCACUUUCCCUUUGCCAGUCGUCAAGCCGGUGAGCCC